RNAcentral lists this long non-coding RNA (73985 nucleotides) under Coffea arabica (coffee). Its description in RNAcentral is "long non-coding RNA (CARA_LNC002010)". The record is from RNAcentral. Lineage: Eukaryota; Viridiplantae; Streptophyta; Magnoliopsida; Gentianales; Rubiaceae.
UUUUUUUUUUUUUUUGGUGAUGGGGAAAGAGGAGUUUUUUUUUGUGUCAAACCUCUAGAUGCACGAAAAUAGAAGAUUUAGCUUGGCUUAUAUGUUUUUUGUAACAACUAAGAACAAAUUUAAGAUCAAUUUCUAUUCUUGACAAUCUCUAAUGCCGCAUAGUUUCUCAGUAAACAAUAUUAGGCACACAAAUUUCAUUAAAUGAUAAUUUUUUGAGCACUGAAAACAUAAUAGAGAAGAACAUGCCAUAAACUACGGGUAAAAGUAGUAUAUGUUGAAUUAAAGGCUACAAAAGCAAAACCCUCUUUCUUAUUCCAGGUAGCCAUCAGAAAUUUACAGUACCAAUUCUUUUAGUCGCCUUCUAUUGCACAUUAGCAAAAUACUUACAACUCAUCAGACUACUCUUAAACAGUUUACUUACUAUUAAUUCUGAAUUACAAUGCAAUGCACAAGCAGAAUUUGUGAGUGUAAACUGUCAACUGGAUUUUGCUUGACAACAACCUGUAAGAAGAAAUCAAAUGGAGGGUACUAUGGCAUUUGAUGAGUUGGUAUGCCUAUUCUUGUGCUUGCAAACAAAUUAAUUUGAAAAUAAUAUCCGAAUGUAUAAUAGGAAUCUUCUGACAUACGUUAAUUUUAGGUAGCCAACUCUAAAAGUUCCAUUAAGAAGAAAUUUUUCAAAAGAUCAUGCUAUAUGCUUCAUGGCCAUCAUUCAAUAUAUGAGACAUAUGCAUUUGUUUAGAAAAAUAAGAAAAACAGCCAAAGAACACUAUGAAUGACACAUGUACACAAAGAAAAAUUUGUGUAAUGGCAUUUAUUCUUUUAUGAAGAGGGAAAAAGAGAAAGAAGGGAUAAUUAGAAUUGAUAAAAUAUCAUUAAUUCUGAAAAAGCAUAAUAAGAAAAAAUGUCUAUAUGUAUGUAUCCACUUGGAUGAAACAUACCUUCAUCUAAUUCAUUGCCCAUGCUCGAAUCUUUGACAGGAGACAUUUGUUCCUCAAGUGAGGUUUUGUCCUCCACCUGAUCAAUUACCAUAGAUGAUCCUCAUUGCUCCAACAAUUUUUUUUUUUGGCUAGAGAAGAAUCAGGCUAUCCACUGUGGACAAAAAGUCAAGCUCAUCUGAAUCAAGUUUAACUGUGACAGUUUUAAUCUCUUGACUUUGAAAGCUAUAAAGACUUAAACCUUGAUUUUCCCCUUUAAACAUAAUUUGAUCAUUCUUGGUUAUGGUAAAUGGUCUAUAAAUUGUCCCUCCAACUUCGACAUUAAAUACUUUACUCCAUGAUUCAACCACUCCAUAUUCCUUCAUCUCCCACAGAGAGCAAAGUUCAGUUGUUUCUUGAGGAUAAAUGACCACAAAACCAAGAGCUUCCUUAUGAACAAUACUCUCUACAUAUUCAGCUACAUCGUCCUCAUAAUGAGGCACUGUAAUUUGCUGAAAGGCUUCUUUCUCAAGAUCAAAGGCCAAAAUCAUCGAUUCAUCCUCGUUGACGCGCCUAUAGAACACCAUCCAAUGGACACAAUUGUUAACGAAUGCUCUAGUAAAGUAAUCACACAAGAACCACGGAAAAGACUGGAUUUCAACUUUUCUCCAAGAAUCUCUGGUCAAUGAAUAAACUUCAACCUCUGUAGUUCUAUCGUCAUUACUACUUGACUCAGCCUUACUAGCACUAAUAUCCUCAUCAAUCUCCAUUUCAAUUAUCUCAUUGCCAUCACCACCAAUAUCAUCAUGAUCAUCACCAUCCAUAUAGUCAUUGUCCUCAUCCAAGAAAUGAUCAUCAUCUUUUUCAAUGUACACAAUUCUUACGAUCUUAUAGUCAUUUGCUUGGUUGAGAUAACCAAAUCCAACAGCCAAGGAACUACCUAGCCUAUUUGACUUCUUUAUGUCAAUACAUGAAGAGGAAAUGCACUUGUAUUUUCUAAUACAAGGAUUCCAUAAAUACAAGUUCUUCCCAAAAUUAUAUGCGCACUCAUAAGUACUAAACCAUAGGAUGAAGAAACAUGGAGGCAAUGACGAGAAUCAAAUGUAGAUGGAAGUCCCAUUUUAUAGGCAAAAUUGGGGUCUUUAGCACAAAGCAAAUCAGAUUUGGCAGGGCUAAAAACCUUGAUUGGACCACAUAAAAUGUACUCAUUACCCCUUGAAGCCAUAAUCUGGAGAUGAUUUUGGAUGAACUCGGCAUUGGUGAUCAAAGCAUACCAUGCUUUGGAGACACGCAUGAGACGGAUCAGCUGGAAGAAGCAACAGUAUAGUAACAAUCACCUCAAAAGGAAGAUCUUCUUGCGCCAUUGUUCUUGGAUUGGAAUCGAAUGAGGUUGUUUGGUUUUUUAUGGUUGUUAGGCUUUUAAAUAGAUAGCCUGAAACCUUCAACAAAUCGGGUACUACGAAAACUGAUUUUUGACUGAUGUUUGAGGUUUGUUAAGCUUUGGAACAGGUGGGCUGAAAUUGUCACUAAUGCAGCUACCAUGAAAACUGACUCUAUAUCAUUUUCUCUUUCACUCUUAAUCUAUCUCUAGAGCUACUGUAUAAAUGUCUGGAACCUUAAGCUGCUGAAAGGUGAGUUAUAGAGCAAGACAAUUGCCUCGAAGAAGCUAAAUUUUCAAUCGAAAUUAGUAAAGUGAUAGGUUUCAUUACAAACGAUGCAACGCCUUGAAAAAUUUGUGACAGUGGGAUAUAGUUGAAAAUGUGAAUUCUUGUUUUGUUGUGAGUCUGCUUAAUGGUGUUUGAGUCAGAUAUCAUAAAUUUCUUUUAUUGACUUUUUUAUCUUGAUUUGAUUUUGCUUACAGCCAUCUUUUUUGUUAAUUUAAGAUGAUACAGAGUCCGAUAAUAUUACAUUACAUCACAUAUUUAAGUUUAAGGAAUUAGAUUUACCUUAGUUAUUUUAUAUAAUUUAGCAUCCAUAUAUAAAAUUUUAUCUUUCCAUAUAUACAUUAUGAAAAUCUGGGUUGAAUACUUAUCCAGUUGGUGAUAAAUCAUUUAAUGAAUUCUAUAAUGGCCUUAAUUACAUAUAUACUCCUUUUUCCAAUGUGAUGACAUCAUAUUCAUUUUUAUGACAUAGAAAAAAACGUACCGAUGUAAUUUCGGAUUUGGAACAUGUAGGCUGAAAUUGUCACUGAUACAAUUACUAUCAAAAUUGAUUCUAUAUCGCUUUCUCUUUCACUCUUAAUCUAUCUCUAGAGCUACUGUUUAAAUGCCUGGAACGGCCUUAAGCUGCUGAAGGGUGAGUUCUAGAGCAAGACAGUUGCCUCGAAGAAGCUAAAGUUUCAACCGAGAAUUAGUAAGUGUUAGGCUUCAUUACAAAUGAUGUAAUGCCUUGAAAAGUUUGUGACAGUAGGAUUGAGUUGCGAACGUGAAUUCUUGUCUUGUUAUGAGUCUGCUUAACGAUGUUUGACUCGGAUAUCACAAUUUUCUUUUAUAGGCUUUUUUGUCUUGAUUUGAUUUUGCUUACAGUCAUAUUUUUUUGUUAAUUUAAGAUGAUAUAGAGUCCAAUAAUAUUACAUUACAUCACAUAUGUAAAUGUAAGUUUAAGGAAUUACAUUUACCUUAUUUAUUUCAUGUGAUUUAGCAUCCAUAUAUAAAAUUUUAUUUUUCCAUAUAUACAUUAUAAAAAUCUGGGUCGAAUACUUAUCCAUUUGGUCAUAAAUCAUUUAAUGAAUGCUAUAAUGGCCUUAAUUGCAUACUCCUUUUCCAGUGUGAUGACAUCAUAUUCAUUUUUAUGAAAAAGAAAAAACUUACAGAUGUCAUUUCUGGUUCGUAUUUUUUGGAUCAUGGUGUGCACAUGUUGCACCAAACAUGAAAUAUAAUAGCAUAAAUCUAAACUGACUCUAUAAGGUUGCGAUAAGGUUUGGAACAUGUAGGUUGAAAUUGUCACUGAUACAACUACUAUCAAAACUGACUCUAUAUCGUUUUCUCUUUCACUCUUAAUCUAUCUCUAGAGCUACUAUAUAAAUGUCUGGAACCUUAAACUGCUGAAGGGUGAGUUCUAGAGCAAGACAAUUGCCUCCACAAAGCUAAAGUUUCAACCGAGAAUUAGUAAAGUGUUAGGCUUCAUUACAAACGAUGUAAUGCCUUGAAAAGUUUGUGAUGGUGGGAUUGAGUUGUGAACGUGAAUUCUUUUCUUGUUGUGAGUUAGCUUAAUGGUUUUUGAGUCGAAUAUCAUAAUUUUCUUUUAUUGACUUUUUUGUCUUGAUUUGAUUUUGCUUACAGUCAUAUUUUUUUGUUAAUUUAAGAUGAUAUAGAGUCCGAUAAUAUUACAUUACAUCACAUAUGUAAUGUUUAAGGAAUUAGAUUUACCUUAUUUAUUUCAUGUGAUUUAGCAUCCAUAUACAAAAUUUUAUUUUUCCAUAUAUACAUUAUAAAAAUCUAGGUUGCAUCAAUGUUUUUAAACCCGGACCGGAGAGUGAAUCGGAAAACCUUCCGAUUCAUGGUUCGACCCCAGUUCAAAGGUUUAAUAAAAUAUUUUUUCAUAAAAUAAUUUUUUAUUCAUUUUAGUAUUAAAAAUUUUGAAUAAAACUAAAAUAUUUAUUUUAGAAAAUAAAUACUUAAUAAAAACCGAUUGAACCUCCCAGUUUUUACCGGUUUUUAUCGAUUCAACCGGUUUUGACUGGUUCAAUUAAUUUUUUGGGUUUUUAAUUGAACAGGACCGGAGGCAUGGCCGGUUCGCGGUUCAACUGGUCGAACCAGCUGAUCUGGUUCGAUUUUCAAAACAUUGGGUUGAAUACUUAUCCAUUUGGCCAUAAAUUAUUUAAUGAAUGCUAUAAUGGCCUUAAUUGCAUACUCCUUUUUCCAAUGUGAUGACAACAUAUUCAUUUUUAUGAAAAUGAAAAAAAAAACUUAUAGAUGUCAUUUCUGGUUCGUAUUUUGUGGAUCAUGGUGUGCACAUGUCGCACCAAGUAUGAAAUAUAAUAGCAUAAAAUCUAAACUGACUCUAUAAGGUUGCUAUAAGGUUUGGAACAAGUAGGCUGAAAUUGUCACUGAUACAAUUACUAUCAAAACUGACUCUAUAUCGCUUUCUCUUUCACUCUUAAUUUGUCUCUAGAGCUACUAUAUAAAUGUUUGGAACAGCCUUAAGCUACUGAAGGGUGAGUUCUAGAGUAAGACAAUUGCCUUGUAGUUGCUAAAAUUUCAACUGAAAAUUAAUAAAGUGUUAGGCUUCAUUAUAAAUGAUGUAAUGCCUUGAAAAGUUUGUGACGGUGGGAUUGAGUUGCGAACGUGAAUUCUUGUCUUGUUGCGAGUCUGCUUAAUGGUGUUUGAGUCAGAUAUCACAAUUUUCUUUUAUUGGCUUUUUUGUCUUGAUUUGAUGUUGCUUACAGUCAUAAUUUUUUGUUAAUUUAAGAUGAUAUAGAGUUCGAUAAUAUUACAUUACAUCACAUAUGUAAAUGUAAGUUUAAGGAAUUAGAUUUACCUUGUUUAUUUCAUGUGAUUUAGCAUCCAUAUAUAAAAUUUUAUUUUUCCAUAUAUACAUAAUAAAAAUCUGGGUUGAAUACUUGUGCAUUUGGUCAUAAAUCAUUUAAUGAAUGCUAUAAUGGCCUUAAUUACAUACUCCUUUUUCCAGUGUGAUGACAUCAUACUCAUUUUUAUGGAAAAGAAAAAAACUUACAGAUGACAUUUCUUGUUCAUAUUUUUUGGAUCAUGGUGUGCACAUGUUGCACCAAGCCUGAAAUAUACAAGCAUAAUAUCUAAACUGACUCUAUAAGAUUGCUAUAAGGUUUGGAACGGGUAGACUGAAAUUGUCACUGAUGCAGCUACUAUCAAAAUUGACUCUAUGUCGUUUUCUCUUUCACUCUUAAUCUAUCUCUAGAGCUACUGUAUAAAUGUCUGGAACCUUAAGCUACUGAAGGGUGAGUUCUAGAGCAAGACAAUUGCCUCAAAGAAGCUCAAGUUUCAACCAAGAAUUAGUAAAGUGUUAGGUUUCGUUACAAAUGAUGUAACGCCUUGAAAAAUUUGUGAUGGUGGGAUUGAGUUGCGAACGUAAAUUCUUGUCUUGUUGUGAGUUCGCUUAAUGGUUUUUAAGUCGAAUAUCAUAAUUUUCUUUCAUUAACUUUUUUGUCUUGAUUUGAUUUUGCUUACAAUCAUAUUUUUUGUUAAUUUAAGAUAAUAUAGAGUCAAUUCUGAUAAUAUUACCUUACGUCACAUAUGUAAGCAUAAGGAAUUAGAUUUACCUUAUCUAUUUCAUGUGAUUUAGCAUCCAUGAAUGAAAUUUUAUUUUUUCAUAUAUACAUUAUGAAAAUCUGGGUUGAAUAUUUAUCCAGUUGGCCAUAAAUCAUUUAAUGAAUGCUAUAAUGGCCUUAAUUACAUACUCCUUUUUCCAAUGUGAUGACAUUAUAUUCAUUUUUAUGAUAAAGAAAAAAACUUACAAAUGUCAUUUCUGGUUUGUAUUUUUUGGAUCGCAGUGUACACAUGUUGCACCAAGCAUGAAAUAUAAUAGCAUAAAAUCUAAACUGACUCUAUAAGGUUGUUAUAAGGUUUGGAGCAGGUAGGCUGAAAUUGUCACUAAUGCAGCUACUAUCAAAACUGACUCUAUGUCGCUUUCUCUUUCACUCUUAAUCUAUCUCUAGAGCUACUGUAUAAAUGUUUGGAACCUUAAGCUGCUGAAAGGUGAGUCCAAGAGCAAGACAAUUGCCUCAUAGAAGCUAAAAUUUCAACUGAAAAUUAAUAAAGUGUUAGGCUUCGUUAUAAACGAUGUAAUGCCUUGAAAAGUUUGUGAUGGUGUGAUUGAGUUACAAACGUGAAUUCUUGUCUUGUUGUGAGUCUGCUUAAUGGUGUUUGAGUCAGAUAUCAUAAUUUUCUUUUAUUGUCUUUUUUGUCUUGAUUUGAUUUUGCUUACAGUCAUAUUUUUUGUUAAUUUAAGAUAAUAUAGAGUCGAUUUUGAUAAUAUUACAUUACCUCACAUAAAUAAGUUUAAGGAAUUAGAUUUACCUUAUUUAUUUCAUGUGAUUUAGCAUCCAUAUAUAAAAUUUUAUUUUUCCAUAUAUACAUUAUGAAAAUCUGGGUUGAAUACUUAUCCAGGAGGCCAUAAAUCAUUUAAUGAAUGCUAUAACCCUCUUCAUGUACUCUCUCGCAAUUGUUGCACUUAAAUGAAAUCCUACCUAGCCUGGAAGGCUAGAACCAUUUUCCAAAAACCAGAUAUAUAUAUUCAUUCCAUUGAUAUUAAUUUGCUGUGAAGAAUUGGAUCUCCUGAAAAUUUAUUAUAGCCCUCUCAAACUCUAAUGCACACAGGAGAGAAAAUGGAUGGAUCAAAAAGAGUCGAGAACGGUUGCAAAAGCAUGUCUUCCUUUUAAGAUCAUUACCAUUGCUUAUAGCAUCACUCGUAAAAGUCUAAGUGAUUAGAUUACCUUUGCCUGACAGUGGGAUUGGGUUGAGAAUAUAAAUUUUUGUCUAUAUGUGAGUUUGCUUAGUGGUGUUUGAGUCAGAAAUUGUAAUUUUCUUUUAAUGGCUGUUUUGUCUUGAUUCGAUUUUGCUUACAGUUGUAUUUUUUGUUAAUUUAAGAUAAUGUAGAGUUGAUUUAGGUAAUAUUACAUUACAUCACAUAUAUAAAUUCAAGGAAUUAGAUUUACCUUACUUAUUUCAUUUGAUUUACCAUUCAUAUAUAAAAUUUUAUUUUUCCCUAUAUACAUUAUGAAAAUGUGCGUUGAUUACUUAUCCAGUAGGCCACAAAUCAUUUAAUGAAUGCUAUAAUUAAUGGCCUUAAUUACAUACUCCCUUUUUCCACAAUGGUGAUAUCAUAUUCAAUUUUUUGAAGAAAAUAACUUACAAACGUCAUUUCUGGUUUGUAUUUUUCAGAUCAUGAUGUGCACAUGUUGCACCAAGCGUGAACCGUAAUAGCACAAAAUCUAAGUUGUUUUGUGCAUUUAUCUUCUUACCAUCUAUAUUAGCUCAUUCAAGAGUACUAUAGGAUAUUUCUUUCGGAAUUUUUUGAUGUCAAAAGUUUGUUUUACAUGAAAAAUAGCGAAAGCCACUUCGUGCACUUUCUCUCAAGCCUGGCUAUAUCCAUUCCAUUGAUAUAAAUUUGUCACGAAGAAUUGGCUCUCUUGAAAAUUUAUUAUAGCCCCCUCAAACUCUGAUGCACACAGCAGAGAAAAUGGAAGGAUCAAAAAGAGUUGAGAACAGUUGCAGAAGCCUAUCUUUCUUUUGAGAUCAUUACCAUUGCUUAUAUAAGUGAUUUUAGUAUUUAAACAUAAAAUUUCGUUUUUCCAUAGACUAUGAAAAUCUAGAUUGAAUACUUAUCAACUUGGCAAUAAAUCAUUUAAUGAAUGCUUAGAUUGGGAAAUCAAAAGGGUUUUAGUGAUCUUAUCAUUUGAUCUUGGAAAAGAGGCCUUUAAACAAAUUGGUUUGCUAUCUAUGACAACCUUGGAAGUCCUGAACUUCAGACGUUUUUAGGUGUGUUCAGAUAAUGCCUUUCUCUUUUUGUUUACUGCCCUAUAGAAGAUAAUCUGAGGGCUCAACAUACACUGUGAAUUUUUGGGUCAUGAAAGAGUAUGGGAAGGUAAAUUCCUGGACUAGGUUGUACUCCAUUGUAGUAGAAAGAAGAAUUUGUAGGUCCGUCAAGUUUACUAAUCGCAGCAAAAUCAUACUUCUUAAUGAUGCUGCACAUGCUUUUGUGCAUAAUUUUAAUAGUCAUGGCAUUGUGCAUCUUGGGGCUGUGGGUUAUAUAUGGCUUAACUAAUUUUGUCAACUUCAAAUGUUAUCUGGUUUUGAUUGAUGAAAUAAUUGAACUGCUGCAUCGAUCAAGAAGCGUCACCCUCAGGUGUUAAAUGCGAGGAUAUCCAAGCUUCAGUCAAGGAAGAGGGCACACCAACUGCACAACCUCCACCAAUUUGUCUGCUUUUAUGUGCUUCUUCAUUAACAUUUUUGGUCCUAGAAAGUUGACAGAACUCCAGUCGUGCAACAUUAUAACCUAAAUUUAUGUUGCAAUCAUCAUUUGAUUAUUUAUUUGCUAUUGAAGAUUGCUAGUUCUUGGAAAUUCUUUUCUUCUUCUCUUUCUAGGUUGGCUUGGCGAGUGGAGGGUGGCAAAGAAUUAUCAAUCGUGGCAUUCUUGAAGAUAAGCAAACAUGGAAGCAGCUAGGCUUGACAUGUUUCAGCGCAUUAGAAGGAGAAGGGUUUCAUAAAUGCUGUUUUGCAUUUCUGUUGAUUGAGAGAACAGAUCGCCUAGAUUUCAAAACUACUUGAAUUUUAUGCUAUUUCAGGGACGUUUUGUUUCCAACUUAAGAACAUUUUUAUUGUACUUUUUGUUCUUGAUGUCAGUUCUGUUAGCCUAAUUAUAUUGCUACGAGUAAGAUCUCCUGUGGUAUGGUGGAACAAAGAUUUUCGAUUAUGUUUAGAAUAACAAAAUGGUCGCUCCUUGCUUUUACCCAAACCAAAUUGCUGUUCUCUUCUACCAAAAACCAAACUGCUAUUCUCUUCCUUCUUAACUACACAAAGUAUUUGAGAAUAAGAGGAAUCUCAAUUUGUUGAAGUUCCUUACAGUUUGUACGGGUUUCAUAUAAUUUGCAGGUGGCAAUGAUGCCAUGCGAGCAUAUUUCAACUCUAAUUCCUAGCAGGCGCAAUCACAGAUCUAUGGUCACCUGUUCAUGUAUAUCAUCAACCUGUCUCUUCUUUUCCUCAGUUUCUUGAUUCUUACUUUCACCAAGUUGAAAAACAAAACUGCUCACGAGUGACCAAAUAAAAUAGUAACAUUUGAAGAAUAAUCUCAUCCUAAUUACAGAAAUGGUAUACAUGGUAGGGUACGAGCAAAAAGUAGAAAAGAAAAGGCUCAGCCAAAGUGCACAACUUUGUAGAAAGACAAAUUGAACUCUCCAGGCCGGGUUUCAAAAUCUUGCCUAAAAAUGAACCUUAGACAGUAGCAACAUAAAUUUGUACUAGCAGAAAAUAUUGCUUCUGUGUUUAUUUUUCAGCUGUUAUAUGUCCUAGCCUCCUGGGGUGCCAUUAAUUGCCACUCUCAAAUGUACGUCCAAAACAUAUUCUCUAGUUCAAAUCACACAAACACAACCACACACACCAUGCACAAAAAUGCUUUUGUCUACUCUUCACUGGGGGUACAUACUAAUCGACUGGGAAUCUGAGAAAGAAGUGGAAAAAAAUUUAUGAUCGAUAAUACAUUCUUCACUAAUGGUGGCUUAGCUGGUCUGUAACUCAUAAACUGAUGCGUUUGAAUACACAUCCUAUACCAGUAUCAUCAACCUGUACCAAACUUCUUUUUUUUUUUUUUUUCUAACUAACUCUGCAUUCACCAGUGAUAUAACUAAGGUCACUUUACACAAGAAAAUGAAGAAGGAAACUAAAAAGAAAGAAUAACAAAACUCGAUCAUGAUGAGAGAUGGAGAAGGAAGUUAAAGCCGAUCCAUGGGUGUGAAGGGGAUGGCUUUAUUAAUAGAAAUGCGGUAUCCAACAAAAAUUGAAAUGCAGAAGGAAACAACAGAGAGGAGAAGAGCAAAGCCACUGGCAGCACCCCAAGCGCUUCCUGAUUUUCCUUUAACUGGCGAAGAAGAGCCUGGGGACACAUCUAAGGGUACCCAGUCACAGCUGACGGAAUAAUGAGCUGAUCCAUGCCAUGGAUUUCCAUCACUGGGGUACCAAAAAGCAGCUGAAAACUUGCUUGAUUGACCAAUGGUGAAUUGUACAUCCUACAUGCAAAAUCAAAAAAAAAAAAAAAAAAAAAAAUUUAACACAAAAUAUAGAUCCUACAAACAAAAUCGAGAAUUUCGUUAUGCAAAAUUCAUUUUUCGUAUGCCAAGCAAUACUAAAAAGCCUUCUAAAGGUAGGUAAGCCAGAAUAUUGUUAUUAGUUAUCUAUUAGAAAAAGUGAAAACAUUAUUAAAUAAACCAAGCAUCAAGCAUAAGACAAUCAUCAGAGAAGUAACAUUAUAGCAUUCUUCUUCAAAUUGCAGAACCAUGCAAUCAAUAAUUAUUGUACGCAUAUUUGAGCCUCUAAUUCAACAGUUUUAACUAAAGUCUCUCAUGCUAGACGUAACAACAACAAAUAUUUGACAAUUACUGAUAUGAAAUCUGCAGGCAUCAAACCCAAGAAAAUAAAAGUCCAAGGGCUGCAUUACUCUUAGUCCCAUGCAUACUGAAAUACUGUGGUUUGUGAUUCUUCUUCCAUUAAAUUAGACAACACAAAAGCUAAAAAGCAGGCACAACCUGCUGUAGACUAUCCAUGCUUCGGAGAGGCCUGGAAAAUUCAAAGUAGUAUGUGCCUUUCUGACCGGAAGAUGCAUAAGGACUAUCUUCUGCCACAAAACCUGUCAUGCAAAGGGUAAAUUUUAUUCAGAAGAAACUGAAAAUUUGGCGGUCACAUUGAAAUCAACUGCAACACAUAUGGAAAUAGAAUUGGAAACUUAUAAUUAAUAUGAAAACAAUGCAACGUAAAUUUGAAAAUGAUCAAUAGCUAUCACUACAUCAACUGUCCACGUAUGAAGUAAUAGCUGCUUCAGCUAACAGCCAACGAUGACAGUUUUGAUUUCUUUGAUAACCGCAUAGCUUAAACUGUCACCAAAUACUGAGACAUUGACUCCUAUAAAAUUCAAGCAUCAGCCUUUUGUCAAUUCUAGGCUGACUUUUCCAUGUUUAUUUCCUAAAUGGAACACGUUCCAAACAUAAAAACAUUCACCUGUAUGGGUUGUGAAACUGCUAUGCCACCAUGCACCUCUCCAAUCAUUCUGUGCAGUGGAGUCAUUUCCUGACAAAAGUGAAAAUGAGAGAAGGGUAAAUGCUUUGCUAGCUCAUAGCGAUAGAAGCAUUUAGAUUUGCACAAUCCCUUAUUGAGGCUAUGUAAGAUAACAAUAUUCUUAUGCCAUGAAGUGAAAUAAAUGCAUCCACAAAGUCCAUCAGGGCAUUCAGAAAUCCUGACAUUGUGUAAGAAGAGAAUGACGGACAAAAACAUCAUAUACAUGGAAGUUACAGCAUUCCCUAUGAUUAUCCAACUAGUUUAUGAUGCAUAAAAACAUUUCUACUCAGCGAGCAAGCAGUUUCAGAAAAAAACUAGAACUUUACAUUCAAAAUUGUCUUUUAUGAAACUCUUGGAAGUUGUCUAAACACACCGUAAUCUGAUGCUGCACAGUUCUAACCCAUAAGGUAAGCAAAAUGUUGAUUUUAUAAAGUACAUGGUGCACUGAAGGGAUUAUCCUGGUAGUAAAAGAUUAAAGACAGAAUUUGUCAUGCAUUACUGAUGUCAGAAGAAAGAGAUAAUGGACUGUCCAAUCUCAUGAUUACCUGACGGACCAAUACCAUCAAGGUUUCUGCAAUGUGGAUUCCAAGCAUAGGUAUCAACUAAAUGGCCAAAUCUGUUUUAGACAAAUGAGAUUCCUAUUAAGGACCAGUCAUAGGAAUGUCAACUGAAUACACCAAAAGGUCAACACAAAUCCCGUUUGACAUCUACCUGUCACCUCCAUUACCCUCUCUGCUGUCUAUUGGGUUCCCACCGUACAAGCGUCCUGGAACAGCAUUUCCAAUAGAGAAAUGCAUGAUGUCAACUUCAUAGCCACGGCAGCUUGUUUUGUUGCACGUAUUUGGUGAUUCUUUACAUCCACCCAUCUUGUUGCAUCAAGAAAAAUUAACCAUUUAGGAAACAAGAUACUAAUUAGGUUGGAUAAGAGAAAAAUAAUAAAAAGGGUAAAUAAUAGUAUUAAUUGAAAUUAUAGCCUAAACAAAGUACCAAAUAAAGGAUAACAACAGUAUAUAUAAUAUAAGUCACUCAAGUGAUCCCACUUUGCUACUUACUCUGUGGUAGGUAGCACUCUCACCAACUUGAAACAUAAGUGCCACAGAUGGGCAUCCAUGAUUAUCUCUGCAUCAUUAGAAAUCCAGAGCCAUUUUCAGGAAUGAAAAUUGAAAACCACAUAUCAUACAGUGUGCCUGCAACUAAAAUCAUAAUACCAGUGAAACAGCUUAUACAUAACUGCAAGCUAACAGUGCUUCAGAUGACAAUAGUUCACACCCAUUUUCUGAGAGAUCAAGAUUGACUUCACUAAUCCAUUUGCUCUCAUCCUAUAAUUCCUUAUUCUGAACUGCUGCUCCAUUGCUUACAUAUCAACGGCCUCCCAAGAAAAUACAUCACAAAAUAUUGAACCCACAGCAGAAUUGGUCUGAUUUUACAUUAGACUAUCUAACUGAUAUUACAGCUUACUUAGUUGUCCCAGGGAUAAUAACUGAGACUCAAUAAAUGGCAGAUACCAUUUAUUUCUCAGUAGUCAUCCUAGCUGACAUAAUAGCACCAAGAAAUUUGAUCUUAGAUAGCAUUAGUGUAGCUCAUCGUAUCAGAUAUUAGAAAAGAUCCAUUAAAUGGAUUUAAUUCUUUCUUCUGGCUCGAAAGCUUUAACCUAAUUAACUGCUCUAAAAAGCCUACUAACCUCUUCUAUAGAACACCUCAGCAACUUACUAUAGAGUGGAUAUGCAAAAAAAACCAUCAGAUGAGAUGCAAAACACCCAUGUCAAAAGUAUGUAAAACUACUAGGUAUGAUUGAAUGUCUGACUAGUCAAACAUAGUUCCAAGUUAAAUUAUACAUCAAUUCCCAAGCUUAGAAUUGAGACUUUGAAACAUUAACCAAGGCAUGCAACAUAACCUCAGUCAGUGAGGUUGCAAUACUAAAGCAAAACAUGCAAAAGACACCUUAAGUUGACCAGGAAAAAUAAAGAAAUAAAUGCAGGAUGUCAUGGUUAAUACUUCCAAAGCCAAAACAUGACGACGUUAGAAUGUAAGCCAAUUCUCAUACCAUUUGGCAGCUAGCAAUUUAUGAUGAAUAGAAUUCUUGAAUUGGAGCUUAGAUUGCUUAGAUUUCAUAAAAUGUGUCUAAAUUUCUAUUGUUGGUGAAUAGGAGAAAUCUUAAAAGCUUCUUUGGAUACCACAUUCUCCUUUAUAUGAACCAAACAGCCCUGUCAAAAUCAUGAUGUAUGAAUACAGCUGCAGCAGCACUGUCCAAAAGAUUUCAAACACAGAUACAUGCAUUCCUAUCGCCAGAAAAGCCAAGGCAUCAACAGGUCAAGUUUUACUACAAUUACUUGAAAAGCAUUCAGAUAACAGCAAGCUCUUUGAUCGUUUAUUUGGAUGGGUAUACUUUUUUAAUAUUACCUUAUAUUCUAAGUGAUAAAAAAGGCCACAAAACAGCCAGCUUUUUUAGCCUUUUUUGGAAGGGUAUACUUGUGAAAUACAGCCUUACAUCAAAACUGAAGGAGGUCAUUGUUUCAUUAUUUAAUAUGUAAGCAAUUAAAAUUUAAUCUUUAGGCAAAACUGAAACUGCCACCUUGUCAACCAGAAUUUAAGCAAAAAUGUAUGAGAAAAGCAAGCAUCUUUACUGCACCACAACUUUGACUAUAUCAGGAGAUUUUUUCAUGAGUUCAGAUUUCUAAACUUAACACAGGGCACCAAAAAAAAGGAGUAUCUCUUGAUCUUUUCUAGGUUCUAUUCUAAUUUUGUUUUCAUACAAUCCAUUUGAGGUGAUUUUAUCAUUUGUCCAAGUACCUUGUAACAAUAGAAUUAAGCCACUGCACAGGAGAUUCCAAAUUUGUCCAACGGACUAGAUGCUGUUCUUGCCCGGAACAACUAUUUUUCUGCUCUCCUCCUUUAAGAUGAGAUAGGCUGCUCCUCUAAUUUCUUCAUCUCUCUUUGUUUUUAUCUCUUUCUGAUUUCUCUCUACUCUCCUCCUCCCUCCUAGUGCAAUAGAACCAUUCCUUCUAGCUUCUUGUUCUCUCUCCUCUUCCUCACUUCUUCCUUUCUUGGCUCAAUUUCUGCAUUCUCCUGUUAGUCUUCUCAUGUUUCCUUGUUCUCAUGUACUAUUAACACAUGCUUUUCCAAUUCAAAUUUCUGUUUCUGCAUUUUUUUUUUUUUUUGAUUGCUCUGCUUCCCUAUCGUAGCCAUUUCUAAACUUGGCAGUUACCAACUCUUUUUCCCCAUUUUCCCUUUAAAAAUAUUAAUGCAUCUUGCUUUUCCUCUUAUCUGUUUUCAUUAGCAGUUUCCAUUUAUCAUUAUGUCCUUGAAAUUACUAACGCUUUCACUAGUAAUUCUUGUCAGACUAACUCUCAUUCAUAUCUUAUCAAGACUUGACUACAUCAUAAUUAGAAAGGUCAGACCUAGCUGACCUUAGCUUUUCAUUUCGCGUGUAAUGAACCUCAAACCAAUUAUUCAAAAUCCAGCAACAUUAGAUUUUGCUGCACGCCUAUUAAAACAAGCUAAAUUCUUUGAAGUUAACAUUAACAGAACAAUCUCAGCUGAACUCGAUAACAGAACAAACAGAGUAUAUCACAAGUAAAAUACAGAAAAGGAAUACUAAAACAAAAAAGACUGCCAGAAAUCCACCAACUUAAAAUAAAAACUAACCCUUUUGAGUAGAUAUAGUUCCCAUCCACUUGCAACAAGAAGUACAUAUCCUUCCCAUCAUGCAAGGCCUACAUUCACAAUCAAGAAUCAUACUCAAGAAAGAAAAAACACAUCCUUUAAUCUAUAUAAUUGUUCGUACUAUAAUUUUACUAAUGCCCAUCCAUCGCUUUCCUUCUCAAAAAAAAGAAAAAAGAAAAAACUUAAAGUCGAUCCAAUCCAAGAAACGGUUCUUGAAAUCGUUUGCGCGUAAAAAGAAGUCAAAGUCAACGGACACUACCUUAACAGUCAUCUUUCCACCUUUGUAGGCAUUUUCUUCAUCCGGGUCGAGUGCCGGGAGGAGGGAGAAUUCAAACCCAUAUACAUCCUGCCAAUCGUCGGCAUGGCCGUCGAGAGUUACGACUCCGGGCCUGAACUGGGCUGGGACACGGGCCUCCGAGUCGGGCUCGCAGUCCCACUCGCCGGACUCUUCAUGGGAGGUCACCAGUUGAACUCCUGUGAAAGCCAAGACGGCGAGGGAGAAGAUGAAAAGACGAAGACGCGGAUAGAGAAGCGACAUCCUACGAAACGGCGACGUUUUACUGUUUUUUUUUAGGAGAAAGAGUCGUUGAGAUGAUUUUGGUUGGUCUGAACCCGAACAUAAAAGUAGCCUGCCCAUUUAGGACUUGUGUUUUAAAUUGACCAUACAUACAAAUACAGGUUGCCGGUUGUAAGACUAGGACAAAGUACAAGUGUUUUUUCCCUGGAUGUUUCGGUUUGUACUUUGUACUACAUCAGUUCGUUUAUAAGUACAUCUGUUUUGGGUCAUAAUUACGUGACAUAAUUGGGAUUGAUUUUUUAUGAUUUGCCUCAUUAUGCAAUCAUUGUGAUCUUUCUUUUUGGUUUCUAAGGUUAGUGAUUGUAGUGUAUCUAAGUAUUGGUUUAGGAGCACAAGUUGCCACUACUAUAACAUGUUAUAUGGCCCAACUCAAGUGGAUUAAGUUUUAUCUCAUUGGAUUAAGUUUUAUCUCAUAGAUGCCACGAUCUUUUUUUUUAACAAUUGUUGAAUUCUCUCAAACUAUUACUUCGGUGAAACAUUUAAUUACCUCUUUUUAACUGUUAAACUCUCUUAAAUUAUUACUUUUCUGCAACAAUGGAAUGCUUUCAAACUACUUGCAUGAAUAGUUUUAAUCUCUUCAAUAUAUUUUCACAUAAUAUAUAGUCUCAAAUUCACAUUGAAGUUUUUUUGCUUGGUAAAUCGGCAUUAGCUACAUAGACAAUAUCAAUGUUGAAGUAACUUGCUUUUGCCAUAAUACUUCAAUUUCCAAGAAAAAUAACUGGUACUAAAAAAUAAGCAUUAUUAUUGUAUAAAUAUGCGCAAGUUUACCCUACAUCUCUUGAACAAAAUCAAGAAAUGAGUAGAAAAGAAGAAGAAAAACAUUACAUCCACAACUUUUUUCUUUUAGAGCCCAAAAUUUUAUUACAAGCUACAAAAAGGUGUCGUGUACUCUAGGAAGCUGUUUAAAAACUUAACUCGAACUCGGGUUGACUGAGUUCGAAUCGAGUUCGAGUGCUUUGAUAAGCCAAGCAAUUCGAGUUCGAGUAUCCAGAAACAAUACUCGAAAGCUCGUUAAGUCUUAUCGAGUUUUUAAAUUUUAAUUCUUGAGUAUAUUAUUAUUAUUAUAAAAUUACCACUAUGCCCAAAAGAGUGAUUGAAUUUACGAAAUGGUUCAGGUCGUAUGAAAAAUUUUAAAGGGGAAUAAUAUCUUUUCGCUCAAAAAUUAUCAAGAAAGUAAAAUUUUCUAACUUGAACUCGAUCGAGUUCGAUAAGGCUCGCAUUAACUUGAGCCCUUGACUUGAACCCAUGCAAAUCGAGCUUGAGUUCUAUGAGCAAGCAUUGAAUUUGAGCUCGAAUUCUAAUAAUACUACUCGCUCAAGCUCGAGCUCUAAUAAUACUAUUCGCUUGAGCUCGAGCAUCCUUCUUGCAUGUCGAGUAUAUUUAAACUUGAUUCGACUCGAUUAUAUCCCUAGUGUAUUUUGGUAGUCUAAACCGACUUGCUUCAAAAGGUGUUGGAGCCAUAUGGACAUCAAUCCAUGAACUACUCAGAUUACAAAGAUCAUGUUCUUGAAGAAAUAAUAUAGCCUUCAUAUGAAUGACAAUUUUCUUGCUUUUUCAUAUUUUUUUAUUUAUAAUUAAUUUCUUUUUUGUUUGAAAGAUAAUUAAUUUCUUCUAUCAUAGGAUUUCCUAACAAGAGAUUCUCCGCUUCUAGGUUUUCCCCGUCAAGAGUUUCUUUUUUUUUUACCCCUUGCUAAAAAAGGGCUUUCAAAGCCCGGAGCAUGUUCAUUGUAAAGCCCGUAGGAAAAGAAAAAACGUAAGAAGUCCAAUUUUAAUUUCUAGCUUCGUACUGUGGAAUUGGGCUGACCUAUUCCCAUUUCCCUUUAAAAGAGACUAAUAUUUCCAAUUAGGUCCCAUUGGACAAAUGCACCACUGGACCCCAACUAAAAGAAACGAUGUAGAGAAAUGGACUAAGCUAAUUACAACUAGCCUCUUUUAGUAGUUUUCUUCAAAAGGGCACUGCAUACAUGAGCCCACAUUGGAAGAACCAAAUAACGAACGAUAGCACAUUCAAGCUAUGGGCUGCUAGCCUGCUAAGCACUUUAGGUCAUUUGUUAGCUUAAAAUAAAAUUUGUUUUUGAAUUGAAUCAAUUUUCUUGCGAAAGUAUAAAAAGUAAAAGAGGUUGUCAAUCCCAUCUGCAAAUGCAAAACUCAGACUUUAAAAAAAACUCUAUUUUAUGUUAUGCCCUUUGCAACAAAAUAUACAGCAUGAUGAAGAUGUAAAAAUAUGCCAGCGAGACAUUUAGAUGAGAGGGUUGGGUUGAGAGAUAGGGUAGGAGGAAUUGUAGGUCGAAAGUUAUGAAUUCAAGGCCUUCCACUUAAAUUUUUUUUUUUUUUAAAAAAAAAGAAGAAAAAGCGAGACAUUUAGACAAAAUUUACAAGGAAUACAAGGAUAGAAACAAUUAUGCUACAUUUUAAAGGAAUAUGAUAGCUUAAAUUUGCUAAUUGGUUUUCAAAAAUUUCUUGAAAAAUGGAGACGAGUUGAAGGGAGGUGAAGGGACUAAUAUCCUAGUCAUAUCAAUAUUGCAUGAAAGCAAAUUUGUUAUGCAAUAUAAAUGUAUUAUGAGCAAGAGGAAGAUCUUUGUAAAUUUACAAAAAUAAAUAUUAAAAAAAAACCAAAAGGAAAGUGAUAUUAUCAAAUUUUUCAUAGUUUCCCCUUUCUCUUUUUAGAUUUAGAAGGCUUUUUACUUGGACAAGUCCACAUGGUCCUCAAACCGAAUGCCUUUCCUUUUUUAUCUUUUACUUUUGCCCUUUUCUCUCCUUUUUCUUUUCUUAUGUUCCCCUCCACUUAGAAAUAUUCCCAGAGAGAUAUCAUGCUAGUUGAAUCACAUAACCAAAUUUUUGUAUCCAGCCUAAUAGUAAUACUUAAUAAUUUUCAAUUUCCUACAAAGAAAAAUAUAAAAUCCGAUCUAAAAUAAACAAACGUGAAACCAUUCAAAGUCGUGAGGACCACCAUGUGGAAGGGAAACAUCCUGAAUAUGGGAUUUUAUCAUGCCUUUAGGCUGAGAUUAAUCUAAAGUUUUUUUAGAAAAUAGAGUAAAUCUUAUAUACACUGACAAGUUAUAUUAUAUACACCAUCACCGUUGAAAUUAUUAAAUAUGUAUAAAAAUUAAAUUUUAAAUUCAAAUUUUACAUAAUUAUUAUUUAUCUAACGCUUACACAAUCGAUUUAGAAAAAAUUAAUCCUUGAAUAUAUGCUUCUCUUGUAAAUGUACAUUCUUUCGCUUGUGCAUAGAAGAGGUUCCAUUAAAUAGCGCAUGCUCUGCGCGUGGAGGUUUAUCAGUCAAGAACGUAGAGUGCAUUGCAAACAAUUAAAAUAGGAAUAUAUUUCCAUGCAUUAAACAACACUGUACAUCCAUCCAUGUUUCCCAGUUGGGAACCUAGAGCAGAUGUUGUGAUGAUAUACACUCACACAGUAUCAGUCAUACAUGUAGAGCAAUGCAAAUGGUACAGUAUUUCAAACGGCUAGUUAAUCCACAGUAACCUCAAAUCCAAUGGAGGCAAGCAUUCCUUAGGUUCCAAAUCCCAACUCCAGGACCAUGAUUAGAGCGUCCUAACUUCUAGGGGCAUACCAAUAUAUCAUCAUCUACAGGCAAAUCAAUAAGGCUCGCAAAUAUAGAGCCACUAAUGUACUCCAUCCGUUCCAUUGAAAUUAUCGUACUUUCCUUUUUGGCUGUCCAAAAAUGUUUGUUUUAUUUGAUAUUUCUAAUUACUUUAUACUCUGAAAUUUUCCUUAUAUCCUUCAUUAAUGAUGCAUAAAGACAAAUAUGAUGGGAUUGCUUUCUACUUUUUAUUUUGAUCAGCACAUCAUUAAGAGUAAAAGUGGAACAAAAGAAAUUUUUUUUGGUGAAGUAUAUAAUAUAUAAAAAGCAUAUAUUCCCAAACAUGACUAAAUAUAUGGAACAGAGAGAGUAUUAAUAACAUAACGAUUAGGUAUUUUUGCUCGAGUAAAAGUGAAAUGGAGUAAAAUAAUCGGACUUGAACCGAUCAGACUCGAGUUUGAACUCGAGUAAAGUAAAAUAAAUUUCAACUCAACAAAUUCAGAACAUGAAUUGCUUGAACUCGAACUCGACUGGACAGCAACUGAGUGUUGCUUCAUGGAAGGUGAAACAGAAACAGUACUAGGCGGAGGAGAGAUGAAUGAAAUGAAAUUGCAGCAAAGAGAGAAAUAAACUAAUAAUACAUGAAAAAAAGAAGUACGUGGGUGACGUGAUGAGUCAGAAGGGGCGGUCAAAUCAUGGCAAAUUGGGGACAAGACGUUUGAUGGCUUGUAUUUGUUUACGUUAUAUAAUCGACAAAGGGCAGUAGAUGACGUGGGUGACAGAUUGGACAGCUGAAUUUGACCCCUCAGCCUCACUCCCACGACAGCAUCCCGCGGGUUGCACGGGAGCCUUCUUUUUUUCCUUUCUCUUCUUUCCUUCCUUCCUUGAUUAUGGCUUUUUUGCUCAGCCAACGUCACACCGUCUCUCUCUCUCUCUCUCUCACACACUCACGCAGUACGAAGAUUUCUGUGUUCGUCUCUGUGUGUGGGGGUGUGAUGUGUUUUUUUUUUUAUUUUACUGUGGGGGUGGGAUUUUGUUGUGACAGGGGAAUCUAAUCCAGCUCUUUUGUGCCGAGGGUACGCCCUUAGCAGUUGACUGCCCUACAGUUGUUGCUUUCACAAUUUAUCUAGUACGUAAUUUUUUUUUAAAAAAAAAUUCCUCAUCUAUCAAAUGAUUUAAAAAACAAAAGAAAAGAAAAGCAAAAGGCUUUUGAUUACUAGUACAAAUUUUGCAAGAGUUUUUCUUAAAAUCGAUAGAACAUUCUCUCUCUCUCUCUUUUUUUUUUUUUUUAUAAUAAGGGAACCUGCAACUGAUAUCCAAAAUUGUGCACUGGACAAACUCCACUCCGUGCAAUAACUUGCCAAUUACACGAAGGAGAAAGAUGCACUAAACAAAUCCUGUAAGAGUUUCAGACGGAUGUCUAAAAUCCCUGUUAGCAAGAAGGCAUGACGCAAACUCUACCAUUUCGACCAACUCAAGGGACAUUUUUUUUUUAAACUUCAUUCUUGAAUUUUAAUUGCAUUCAUUAAGUCAAAUUUUAACUUCUUGUAAUUGCUAGACCUGGGAUUGAUUUCGAAAGUUUGGAACAUGAUACAGAGAAGUAUGUGCAUGAAUUCGUAUGGACAUUUGACUCUUAGUUAUCAUGCAUAAUAAAAUGAUCAGUGUGGUUCAUAGUAUGCAUGAAUUGUGCUUCUGCUUACUUGUUAUUAGCACUAACAGAAUCAUGUGAAAUGUGAACUUAUGACAUGAGAAAAAAUUUCAUACUGCAACCAUAUCCGAUUCCAACAGACAAAUGUUAUUGCGUCGAUUGCAGAUUUACCGCACUGCAAGGUAAGGCAAAUAAGGUGAUUCACAGAAUCAUGGGGAACAAUACAAGAACAAGCAACAAAUUAGCAGUGUAUUCCUGUCUAUAGCAAAGCUCUCGUUUGGAUUGCUAUUUUCUAGAGUUUUUAUAUGAAAAUAUAUUGCAGCGAUUUAAUAUCUAUAAGGUAAAAAGUUAGCUAAAAAUAUACUCGGAAAAACGAAAAAAUCUUUUGAUAGAAAACUACAAUCCAAAGUGAUACAACCUAGUAGCUCUAUGCAUGCGAAGAAAACAAUGAACACAGUUCAGCUGAUAUUAUGCCUUUUCUCGCGUGAGGUUGCCCACUAACAUGAAUUUGCAAGCACAAUUCAUGCAUGAUAUUAAGCAUGAUAUGAAUAACUUCCGUUUUAGGGGUGCACCAGUUGAAUUUUUGAUCAUACAAACAAAACCAACCACAAGAACAAAGUUUCUUUUUUUUUUUUUUGGCUUUUGCAGCAUAUUAUAUCCAGGGUCACAGAAGUCGAAACGAAGGCUCAGUUACAUGUCUUCCCAAACGAAGGAACAUAAAACUAUAAUAGUUAGACUGAGCCAUGUCUUCUCAAAACAAGGAGUUUGUGAUGCGAUGAACAAAAGCACAGAUGAUGAAAGACUAGCUCUAAGUCUAACUAGGUGAAAAACUAACCACCUACACAGCUCUCAGAACCUAUAAACAAGAAAGAGAAAAGGGUUGCAGAUAAACUACUUUGAACGUACAAAGACAUCAGACGCGAGCGGAAAUUGGCAAGAAAAAUUCCGUCAUUCCUGUCAGCACCAUUUCCCCACUCUCCUCCCUUACAGUGAAUCUACAAUUUGCCAUUGCCACUUCCUGGACCUCCCAGUGAUAGAACAACCCCAUGAAGUUCACUCUUGAGGUUUGGCUCUGUAUUGGAGGAUGGAUGCGAUCUAACGGCCGAAAUUGGCCUUCUAACUUCGGCUAGUUGAAAUUCUGGAGCAUAUUGCUUUGUCGGCUGCUGAGAUUGCCUUAAUGCACCAAGACUUGAAUGACUUGCACUAGAAUUUACUUGGUUUCUGAGUGAUGAAGGCCUCUGACCAAGAUUUACCCCUCUUGGCACAAGAUAAGGUCCCUUUACCAUGAAAUGCAGGAUCACCUUAAGGUUCAGACACUUAUGAACAAGAACCGAAAGAGAGAGAGAGAGAGAGUUACCGAAGAAUUAAACUCCGGAAACUUACCGGGGCAAACAGGACGCCUCUGAAAGUCCUACCAUUAACCGUGGCAGUCAUCAGAUAACCAGAAUCAAAUUCACCAUCAACAUUGCCACGAACUUCAGCUCCAAUCUAGAGGGCAUUAUUUUGCCAGUGCAUAAGUUCAUGAACUAAAAGGUAUUCAAACAGUACCUAGACUAGUUUUUCUAAAAGCAGAUUACAAUGCACUUAACUCAACUGAGAGUAUGGAAGGAAAUAUGAAAUAAGAACCCAUGUAGAGAUUAAUCAGUAUAAUGAUACUCCAACUAUUGGAGAUCAUAACCUCAACAUACCAAGUUUUGAAACUGUCCUGGCUCCAGGGAUCUCUGCCCAUCUGCUGAAAAAUGCAACUCAUGUUUACGAAAAUUAACAGCUUGUAGAUUGUGCAGUUUCGACUGAUCUGGAUGCUCUCCAAAAACAUGCAACUCUUGUCUAGUCCGUGGGGUGAUGAUUCUGGGGUUUGGCUGGUUCAGAGGAACAUGAUUUGACUGCAAACUCGCUGGAGUUGCACGGUACUGCUUAAAUAUCGGAAGCACCUGAGGACUGACUUCUGUGCAUUUCUUGAUAGGAGUCUGUUCCUGAUCAGAUUGAGAAGGAGAUGAACUUUGGGAGAGUGAAAGUGAAUGCUCUUCAGCAUCUGACGCGAUACCAUACAUCUUUAAGUUGUUUGUCCUCCUUUUUUUCAUUUGAAAAGCAUCUUAAACAAAGGAUAAAAGUUUCUGUUAGGCAUGCUUUUACAAUAUCCUCGCAUGUUGAGCUAAAUAAUAUUCCCACAACAAGCCAACCUGUAUCCAUGCAGAAAGACUUCUUUGGCAAUGGUUUCAAUUCUUCGGCAUCCUUUAUGAACAAAGUUUCACUGGUGGCCAUCAGCACUGUUCUUUUCUGCUGACAAAUAAUAGAAAUCUAUUAUUCAGCAGCGAUUACAUAAGAAAAUUGGAAAUGGAGUAAAAAGUAUUGAUUUUGUAGCUGUCCCCUACCAAACCAUUCUCUGCUUCUCUGAGAAACCUCUUACGUUCUUGAUUACAUUGGUUGCCAGAAGUUUUAUAGAACGGCAUCUUAUACAGUCCAUUAGCAUAGUCUACUCCAAGCUGCAGGAUGAGUAGCUCAUUGAGCGGAUGCUCAUCCUCACCACAACUGCAGGAUUGAAUCAAAUGCAUAUCAGUAACACAUUAUAAGCAUUCACAAUUGGGAGAAGGACUUGCACAUGAUUUUUUUUUUAAAUCUAUAGCAUCACCCUCCAAAAACUGUUACUGUGUCCAAAUUGGUCACAACAGCUGUAUGGGAAAAUCUUCCUCGUGGUUUUUGGCCACAUAUGUCCAGUUGACUCCAUGAGCAGGAAACUAUAUCAAGAAUCCAGACAUCAUUGUAGUACUGCUUGUGCGCUACCCCGCCAAUCACAUACACCUGAAAAGCAGAAGACGAUCACCACCAGUUUUUUGUUUGGAAUGGUGAUUCAGCUAGCUUAAAGAAAAAAUGCUUGCACUGCAUUCCAGUUUCCAUAGAAACAACAACAUUUACUAGUAAACCAUCGGAUAAUGAAUUGUUUUCCUCUUCAGAUACCACUAUUUAUUUCAAGAUCAAUUAAAGGACUUGCCUUUGUUUCUAUAUUUACAGAAGAAUGACCUGCUCGAGCACCAGGUGAAGACCCCUGAGUAUCCAUCUGGUAUAGCCACGAACAAAACCAUUAGCUUAUAUUCAAAUGUGAUGCAAGCUUUUCAAUUUCAUUAGCGUUCAGCUUGACUUCAAGCUAACAAUAGAGCAAGUAAAAUGAAGAAGGAUAGAAUCUGUACCCUUGACCAAGUUAAUGUAUCCAUAUCAAGCACAUCGACAUCACCUUGGUAUCGAUCACCAGAGUCUCCACCAUACAAGAUAAGCCUGUUACUGAUGGCAACAGCACUGUGACUAUCCCUAGGGACAGGAACAUUUCCCUUUACCUCUGGGGAAGCCCACCUCAUAGUUUUAAGAUCUAGAACAUGCAAGUCAUUCAAAUAGUUUGCUUCCCCCUCUCCACUUCCCCCAAAUAUCAGCAAUUUUUCAUCACCAACAAGUGUAGCUGUAUGGCUUUCACGUGGGGAAGGCGGAGUUCCUUUGCAUUCAGGAUAUGUCCACUCUUUAGACCUGAGAUCUAGUACAUACAGAUCAUUAACUUUUUUUGAACCAUUUGUACCCCCAAAGACAAUCAUCUUGUACCCAACUAUUACAGCACUGUGGCUGUCUCUUGGUCCCGGGCCCUGUCCCUUGGUCACCAGAGUGCUCCAAUCCAUUGUCUCCAGAUUUAGUACAAGAACAUCACUAAAAUGCAUCCCGCCACAACAUCCCUGAGAUGAGGGAAAUUAGAAUAUUUAGAAUGCAGCACAAUCAGGAAGAUGUUUGCUCAUGCAUCCUUUGAAAUAGAACAGUCCCUAGACUAAUUUGAAGAUAACAUGUCUCAAUUAGCUGGACUUAGCAAGUACAGCAAACUACUUAAGAAAUGGACUAAUCCCAUAGGCCAACUAUGGUUACUAGUUUGACUUUCAAAUCCCUUUUUGCUGACAGCAUAAUUAGUAAAAUAACACCACCUUACAAGAAAAUGAAAGUAGGCAUCCUGAUCUAACUUUCUUUAUUCCAAAAGAACAUAAUUCUUUUGAAGUGUGGAAGAAAGAAAUGGUCAUUCUUUCAGAAGCAUAAUUGUGCAUUGGGUGAGAACGCCACAAAGUAACAAGGAUAAACGAAUACCAGAUUUAUGAUAAAAAAAGAGGUAAAGAACAUACGAUCGUUGAAGAUAACAAAUGAUCAAGAAGAUAAUUAUAAAGGAGGAAAGAAAAAGCUAGAAAUAGAGCAAAAGAAAUCAGCAUAACUCCUCCUAAUCAGGGUUGAAGAUGUUAUUGAGUCAAAGCUGGAAAGAAAGUAGCGAUCGUUGAAUGCUACGUUAACAAUAAAUAAAUACAAUAAAUAAAUAGGCACGUAUUACGUGGAUACAACAAAACCGCACAUUGAUAGAAGACCAGAUUAGUUGAACUGAAUUCGUAUUGCCUCAGAUUGAAGAGAAUGUAGGCACAAAACCAAUCAUGAGAAUUCAAAUUGAAGAGAUUGCCUCAGGAUGGCUGGACUAAUUUCGAAGAAAAAACGAAAUUAAAAUGCAAGAGCAAAAGGAACACAUGCCAUAAACGAUAGUUCAACUUGAAGAGAGCCUAACACGUUACUUUCAGCUUUCAAGUCAUACAAGGAGCUGAAUUUGAAGCUCCACCAAAUGCAGACUACAGUAUACCAAACAAAGAUGAUAAAAGAGGAAAGUAUAAAACCGUUGGAGAAAGUGCAUCCACUGCUUACCCCAAGAAAACCCAAGUCCCAAAAGAGAAAAGGGACAGCUAGAACAAACUUGAACCAGGAAAAAAGAAAAAAACCUUGAAACAAACAACAAAUAGAAAACACUGCUUAAUUUAGCAUGGCAAACAUUGUCAGAAUGAUUCAAGAAGCAUAAAAAGCAAACCAAGUACAUAUUUCUACCAGAAAUCACAGAGCCAAGCAUACAUGAACAAAGAAAUGAGCACCAAAUAUAGCAUAACCAUCACAGAGAAAUCAGAAAGUAAUGUGGUUUGCUAGUAGUAAACAUCAUACGUACCCCAAAGAUGUAGACUAAACCAUUGGAAUAGCAAGCAGAAUGCCCCCAUCUUUCAGAAGGACUGACACCAAUAACCUUUGGAGAUAACCACAUUGCCUUCUUCCUUGCAAUUUCACCUCCUAGAGACCCCAUAUUCUCUUUUCCUCACUUUGAUCAGAUUAGUUCAAGAAAACUGAAAGCCAGAACAGCACAUGGGUUGGGUUGACAAGAUGAAGAUACAAAUAAGUAGUAAGAACUAGAAACAAAAAAAGAAAAAGAGAAAUAAAAUGCCACUAAUAAAGAGUCAAAAGAGGACAUGAACAAGCCAAGUGACAUAUCAACUAUCAGUGUCAAUAGACAUGAAAAGAUGGGCGCUUUCAAGUCCAAAUCACUGUGGCACCAAUAAAAAACACAAGGACCUCGGGUGACCAGGACACAUGCAUUUACACUUUCUCUUAUCAUCACCUGCUCAGAAUUACAUCAAUCUUCUUUUCUUUCUUACUGUUGAUUGAGUAGUAAUCAAUAGGCGAAUGAAUGCAUGUACUACUACUAUUGGAAUCAGUUUCAAAACAAUGCUGAUAAAGUAAAGCAAGUGUUCCGAGGGAGUAAAAGAGAGAGUAAAUGUGAUGGGCUGAUGAUCCUUAUCUUUUGCUUUGUAGCUAGUUUGUCAAGUCUAUUGUUUGUUUAUUAAUAUCUCUACUUUACCAACUUUGUCUAACUGAAAAUGAUGAAAGUUUGGGAGCAUUGGGUUGUGGGAAAUGACGGGAAGGUAUUAUCCCUUACCAGUUAUGUUUGAGUUUUUUGCCACCAUCGGUCUACCACUCGAACACACAUGACAAACAUGUAGGUGUCUAUAUUCUAUACACAGACUUAGUCUCCAGACCACUCGUGAUUACAAUUGCAUAACCUCCAUCAGAUGCACUUUAUUAAGGUUCAGAUAAAGAAGUUUUAGAAUCUGCAAGUGCAUGGUUAUAGUUUAGUAAUAGUAUAGUAUAAUGGAGUCAUAGACUUUUCCGAUUUUAUCUUUCUUUGUUUUCAAACUAUUGCUUUUUAAUAGUCGUAAAGCAUGUGUUUUUGGAUAGAAAAUUAUUUGAAAUAAAUAAAUAAAUACAUAAUGUAUAUAUAUAAACACUUUUUGUGAUAUAAUAUGUAUGCAAUAUCAAAGUGCUUGAGAAUAUGAAAGGUAAUUACAAAACAUAUCUAUAAUGCUAGUUUUUUUAAUUUCAAGAAAUAGACUGUCCAAGCAAACCUAAUAACUUCAAGAAUUUUUCUUUUGACAAAUUUUUAACAAUUUUUUCAUAAUUGGGUAGGCCAAUAUGUUUCGAUUGUCAUGUUUUCCUAAAAAAAAUUUUAUGUUUCCAUAAACUCAUUUCUUGAUCAUUGGAAGCCAAGUUUUUUGCCAAGUUUGUCUGCUACAAGUUUUUUAAAAACUUUAAUUACAAUAAUCUCAAAAAACUUUUCAAAGUUUUUAAACUAUACAUUUCAAAAUAUUAAAAAAAAAAAUACACUUCAAAAAUUUUUUUAAAAACUUCUACGGUAAGUUACAGUAAAGUUUUAAACAAACAUCCAAAAAACUCAUUUUCCAAACAGGAUUUUUAUUUCACAUACAUCAAAUUAUUAUAUUAUAUUUUUUAUAAAAAUUUUAGAAAAUAGCAAUCCAAACGGCCUAGUCAACAUUUAUAUUCAAAAAAGAAUUGAAAACUUUUUUUUCAUGAAAUAAACUGUCCAAACAAACCUAACUUCAAGAACUUUUCUUUUGACAAUUUUUUCAUAAUUGGGUUCCCAAAAAAAUUUUAUGUUUUCUGUAAAUCUAUUUCUUGAUCAUCAUUUUAUCUCAAGUACAUCAAAUUACAAUAUUAUUUUUUUAUAUAAAAAUUUUAAAAAAAUAGCAAUUUAAACGGACUUAGUCAACAUUUAUAUUCCAAAAAAGAAUUACAAAUCACCUUCCAUACGGAACAGAAACUAGGGGAAAAUAAAUUGCCUUCACUCCAUGGUACUUAUGAUUCUUAGUUACAAGAUUUUAGGUUGUGUUUGGAUUGCAUUUUCCGUGAUUUUUCAUGGAAAAAUUACUGUAGUUAUUUGAUGUAUGUGAGGGAAAAAAGGUAAUAGGGAAAUGUGAUCACGAAAAACGAUGUAAUUUUUUGACGGAAAUCGGCAAUCCAAACCACUUCUUCAUUUCUCCUUUCAAUGUGAGGUAAUCUAGGGAUUGAUGGAUGGAAGUUUAUGCAUCCAUCCAACUCAAAUUUCUAGGUGGUCUAGAGAUGUGCAUUUCGAAAUAUGUCUAUUCUCAAGGUCUUUGGUGGGACUAUGUGCUUUGUGCAAUAAUCAAAAUUCAUUCGAGUUUUGGGAACUCAAAUACUACUACUGUUUCAGCUUCUUUUUUAAAAUGAACUGCCGCUUUCUUCAAAAAGCUUGGAAGUUUUCCUCCACGAAUCCUUGCAUCUUUGCUGGGUGACGAGGUUUUCCUCGACCAUCUUCCUUUUCUAUGUUCGUUGGUGAAGAACCAAGCCAUGGAAAUGUUUAGAGCGGGGGGGUUAAUAACACGUUGCUCCCCUGAGAAUAGGGGUAAAGACACUUUGCCCCCUCAAUAGAAAUAGUACGCACUUUAUCACUUGAAAUAUUUUAUUUGAUAUUUGUGGCAAGUGUUGUGUUUGGACUGCUUAACUAUUAUUGAUAAAUAACGUAUUCCUGAAAUAUGUUAUUAUUGAUAAAUAACGUACCCUUAUGCGGUUGAUAAAUAAUAGUAAUUUAUAAAGGACAUUUAUUAAUGCAAAUUUACUGCUUAAAUAUGUUGCUAAUUUUACCCUUGUGAUGUUGAUAAAUAACGUAUUUUUAUGAUGUUAAUAAAUAGUAAUAAUUUAUAAAUAAUAUUUAUUGAGGAAUAGAAGCCACAUCUAGUAUCAAAUGUUUUCAUUAGAAAUAACACACAUUUAGAGGUGCUCAAAUUUCAAAUUUCAGGAAAAUUUUGAAAAACCAGUCAAACGAAAUUUGAUAAAAACCAAUUGAUAUACAAACUUUAAAAUUUGGCAAAACAAUUUGGAAAUAGCUAUUCAAAUUUGAUUACUGAAUUCCCGAUUAAAUUUUGGUAAAAUAAUUUGAAAAUAUAUAUUAAAAAUUGAGUAUCGAAUUCGUAACUACUGACUGAAUUAUCGAAUUUUAUAUGAAUAUAUACUAUAUAUAUUACCUACUAAUAUAUAUCAUAGACUAAUCUAAUAUGUAAGAUGUUAUAAAUAAUAACUAAUGCUUCCAUAGGAUUAAUCUUAUUAAAGACAAAAUUGCUAAUAUUUUUAAGCAUUUUAUUUUUCUACUUUUUCAAAUGGAAUACUUAACACACACACUAAAGAGAAUAUUUUCAAGUGAAUAAAGUGCCUAUUGUUUUCAUUGAGGGGCUUAAUGUGUUGUUACCUCCUACUUUCAGAGAGGGCAAAGUGUUAUUCAAUCCAAUGUUUAGCCAACUAAACUUUGUAAGGAAAAUUUUACCAUGUCAAUAAUACAUCGGUUCGGCUGCACCACAUUUUGAGGCUACAUAAAUAGGCCCCUGGAUUUAGAGGUUAUUAUUUUCUAGUCCUCUAGAUUCAUUUCUGGACCUUGUGUUUUGGUCCUUCACAUAUUCAAACGAUUUAUUCAGGUACUCUCAUUUCGAGCCAUAUUCUGGGCGGGUAAAUUUAAUAUGCUCAUUAAAUGAUGAGAAAUUCAACAAAUAUUUACACACCUUUUUCAUGUCCAAACAAUCAGCAUUUGUAAAAUUACGUGUUAAUUCCUAUUUUGUAAGCAUAUUACUCCCUCGGUUCCUAUUUAAAUGAUUUGAAUAAUUCAAUCUUUUAGAUUAAGAAAGUUAGUUUCUAAAAUUCAAUAAAAAUUUUACUUGACUUUCCAAAACUAUCCUUUAUAUCUUUCAACUACUUUUAUGUUUAAUGCUACAAACACUGCAUUUAAUUUCUCAUAAUCCCAACUCAAGAAAGUUGAGAGUAUAAAUAAGGGUAAAUUUGACAAAAAAAAAACUUCAUAAAUGCUUUCUUGAUAUAGUAAAAGGACAGAUAAACUAGAACACUGGAUUGGGAUCAUUUAAAUAGGAAUGGAGGAUGUAACUAAUUGCUACUUUUCUCAAAUAUCUUUUUUGGGUUUUGGGAGUAUUUAAUACAAUUUCCAAUCACACAAUUAUCUUUGAAAAAAAAAUGUUAAAUUGUUACUCUGUCACAAAAAUCUCCCAAAAAAUGCAAUUUAAACAGGAAAGUUUUCGAUAACAAAGUGCUUGCAUUAUCCAAUUAAUACAUGCACUUUGAUGAUGACAAUAAAAUAGCUUUGUUAAUAUAUAGAGAAGUGACAAUUAGCAUGUGAUUGACACAUAAUUAGAAUAUGGGCUAGAACAAUCUUUAUGCCCAUUCUAUUCAUAAAAUUACGAAUGACUUUUAAAUAUACUAUCAGUGUAUAAUUUUUUUUUAUAGUAGCACGUUUAGAUCAUAUCAUAUAACAUGAAUUUUAGUUUGAAAUUCACAUAAUACACAUGUGAUAUAUAUUCAAAACUAUUAAUGUAAAAAAAUCACUAUACUGUCUGUGUAUAAAAAUUUAAUCAUUAAAUUACCAGUAUUGCAAGGGUAGCAUGUGAUAGUUUUAGGGCAAAAUAAGGUUGAGAAUGAGUGUCAUGACAAAAUUAAGAGCCCGUUUGAAUUGUGAGUUUUAUAAGAAAAGUUUUUAAUAUUUUUUUAACAUUUAUCUUAUAUACAUUAUAUUGUGACACCGUAUUCUUCUGCCAAAAUUUUCAAAAACUCCAAUUCAAACGACUUAUAAUCCUUUGAAAUGUGUGGGUGACGAUAAUGAAUCAUUUUAAAUGUAAAAACUAGAAAGAAAAUAUCCUCAAAAUUGAAGCAAAUAUUUGCAGGAAUUUCUCCGGCCGAAAGAAUGAGUGAAAUAGAAAUUGAGACUACUUGCUAAUAGAUAGGCGACAAAAACAGGAGGGAGAGUGGAGGGAUAGGAGGGAGCAUAAGGAUGGCGGUAGUAGUGCAUUUUAUUGCUUUGAUUCACGUGAAUGUGACUGACGACUGACUGCCUUCCUUUGUAACUUGAAAUUUUUGCUCUCUCUUCUUUUCUUUUCUUUUGUUUGACAGACAAGAAAUGAAAUGAUAGGAAACCGAAAGAAAAGAAAAUUUUGAAAGACAUCUAUCUAAUCAAAGAGGGAUACCAUCAAAUAGAUUGAUGGGCAUGGCCUAGGCUAGCUUGCAUAAUCAUAGUAGGAGUCCUUCCACGUACUACUGCAGCCACUGACUAGGAUUAAGUUUGUGGCUCAUAUUACGGAUUAAAGCUUAUAUCUUAAAAAUCUACUGAAAAUCAUGGUCCGUCUAAAUAACAGGUACAAAUAUUAAAAUCUAUACAAUUAAAAUUAAGAGAAUGGGCGUUAUUUAAUUUAAUUUGUAUCUAUCGUAUGAAUCAUAUGUCGUUUAGGUAGGGCUUUUCUAUGUAUUGUGCACACAACAUACACUAAAGAAUUUUUCUUGUACUUUGAAAUCAGCCAAGGCUAUUAAUAAUGUCACAGUUUCGAACAUGAUUGAAUUGCAUUUUGUAGUAGUACUAUAGUAAUUUUUUGAGAUAUGAUGUUUGUGAGGUAAAAUAGUGAUUCAAAAAUACGUUAAGAGAAUAUUUCUCAAACCCUUCAAAAAAAAAAAGUUGCAAUCCAAACAAAGCGACUUGAAAUGACAAAAAAAAGUUUAUUUGACCAAAAAAAUGUAUGGGAAUUAAAACUAUCCAAACUUUGUUCAUGUGAAUUACAUUUGGAUUGCAGUUUAGUUGUAAUUUUUUAUUUUACAUGUAUCAUCAAUACAUUUUUAAUCACUUUUUUAUCUUACAUUUAUCACAUCAAAAAGUGUUACAGUAAUAUUUGUUCAAAAAAUUAUUCCAAAUAAUAUACUAUUUAAACACUUUAACCAAAACACGUAUGCAGAACUAAAUAGGUGCUAUGAAAAUGACAUUUGCUAUCAGCCAAGAUUUUAUUUAAUAGCGUGGUAUAGAUAAGCCUGUAAAAGUGAUUUGAUUGCAUUACAAAAUUAUUUAAUUACAUUAUAAACAUGCUUUUCAACAACUUUUUUAUUUUUAUAAUUAUUUUUUUAUCUCACAUAUAUCACAUCAUUAAAAAAAUGCUGCAGUAUAUUUUCAAAAAAAAAAAUCCAAAUAAUCUCGUAUACAAACACUACUUCAAUGGUAUCUGUCUAUAUAAGAUUAUUGGCGCUAAAAGGUCUAUAUAUGAGUGUUCAGGACUUGUACCACUGACUACUAGGUCCUAAGCCAUCAAAAUGACACGAAAACCACUAUGCAAUAGCAGUUCCGUACUGCAGCAUAAUAGUAAUGUUGUUGUUGUAUUGUUCAAUGGAAGCAUCGAUACGAAAUUUGAAGCGUGUGUUGGGUCAUAGAUGACUAGGUUGGGAGCAGUGACAUUUGGUAAAUUUCUGGCUUUCUUUCUUGGAAUCUUUGCUCAGGCACACAACAGCGUGACGGGUACGUGUAGUUGGCUUCUCUGUUCAAAAUCCCACAGGAGGAAGGAAUACUUAAACAUUUCAGUUUACAAGAAAUUGCACGAUUAACCACCAUUCUCUUCGCAAAACUAGGUAAUCUUGGGCUUCUGCAACAGCUUAGUCAAGAUUGAGGAGCCUUGCAAUAACGGCCAGCUCUGUAUUUGUCGUCCUAUAAGAGUUCCUGAGUCUGUUUUGUCUACUUUCUUCAUCUCUUGUAGCAUAAGGAAAAACACAUAAUCGUCAAGUAACACAUGGAAUCCUUGCAAUAAUGGCCAGCUCUGUUUUCUACCCCCAUGGAAUCCUCGAAAUCGUCAAGUAACACGUAUCCUUCUGCCAAGUAACAUUAAUGAACUGAAAUCUGAGAUGGGCUUUGACAAGAUAACGACUUUGAAUGCACAAUACUCGGUGAUUUUGAGCUAAUCAUAUAUACCAAAACAGGUUCCCCCCCCACUCCCCGGUAUAUUUUGUGGAUGCGUCUAAACAACAUGAAGUUUGCGAAUAAAUGAUAAGUAACGAAGAUUCGCCUUUUACAGCUAUUCUUUGGGACAGGGUUAAUCAGUUGGAGGAUUUGAGAGGCGAUAGUUUUCACUGCGACGGAUCAAGAUAUUUUAAAUCUUGAAAUGAAAAUUCCCAUAAAUGUUGGUUGAUCGUAUAUUUCGUUACAGUUCUAUGAUUUAAUUAUUAUAUAAAAUAGGUUGGUACAAUAAAAAGUGGGAAUAUGUGGUUUAGAGCAAUGCCUAUUGUGCCCUCUUCAAAUUCAACUAAUUCGCCCAAUGAAAAUUGUAUCUUACCACAAAUUAAAAUUAUAAUUAUUGCCGAACCCAACGCCUAUAUUGCAUUUGCAGCCAUAAGAAUAUCAAGAAGUCUUGGACCUCUGGACCCGCAAGAACCGAAGAAAUUUGUUGAGUGCAUAACUGGACAUAGAAGCCAGCAAAAGCCGGAGUAUGCUCUACGUCUUUCCUGUUAUGCUAUUUCAACUAUUCAUUGCUUGUAUGCAUAAAGUCUCAAAGAGCCAAAAAGCUUAAAGGAAACACCGUAACAUUAGGGCUUCACUUUUUCCAGCACUUCUAUUGCCAGACGUGAUGUAACUAUUUCAAUGAGAAUUUCCGUAUUGUGUUAUAGGACAACUUUAUGCACUACUUGAGUUGUUCUUCUAACUUUUGUGGACUGCUUUAAUAUUCUUUUUAUUUUAGAGAGGCGUAUGGAUCCAUCUUUUAUUCAUUGUAUGGUUUUUUAGGUUAAAGAAAACAAAAUCUUCAGCAUGCGUGACAUAUAUGCUGCUGGAAUUAUUAUUAUGAUUAUUUUUUAUCUCGUUUACAGGUGCAGUUCUUUGACCGUAAUAGAAAUGAGUGCAUGCAAUAGCAAUACACCUCAUGCAGACGCAGGAGGACCCAUGCAAAAACGCAGUCAAUACUUCUCGUGGAAACAUGUGCAGGUUACAACUACUGUUAAAUCAUGUGGCAGAAUGUGAAGAUGAUAAAAUACUGGUCCUUAUAACAAACAUGGACCGUCACAGGAAGUGCUGUGCCAACUGCCAGCUAAGGUUGUAGUAGUCGCAGUUUUGUUUCAGCACCAGUGAUCCGUACUGAAUUGGGCCGAACUGGAUUUGGCUAGUUUCAAUUUAAUACUAACAGAUUUGACAAAACCCUAUUGACGUUCAUCAUGUUUUGCAGCAGUGAUUUGAAACCCUCUUCUCUUCUCCUCCACAGCUUCAAGGCCUCUAGUUCUAGCUUGAAUAAUGCUACUGUCUAUCUAGGAUCGACCAUUAGAAAGAAUCUUGGUAUAGUUGCAUGCACUGCUGCUUACAUCUUCCCUGACGAAAUGCACAGUGGCAUGCAAAGUUUGAUUUGAGAUCGAUUUUCCAUCUCAGGGCUUUGCAAAAUUUACCGUGAGGCCGACAGCUUGAUGGCUUCAUCAUGCAUGCUCCAUUCAUUAAUCCCCUGGCUCUUUUUAGCGAGUUGUUUCCAGAGACUUGAUGAUAAUUGCACUUACUUGCACAUCAACAUGAAGAACGAACGUCUUUUUGUGAAAAAUUUCUUGUCUGCUGAUCUCUUGCUGUUCUAAAAUGAUCCUUGGUGACAUCUGAAGCGAAGCUUGUAUUGGGAACUGACAAUAGAUCAAUAUUUACUGCAGUAAGCUCCUCACACGGAGAGGACUCGCAAAGUUGCAGGCUUUUCAGGGAUUAUAAAGUAUUGCAGGUGCACGUCUAGGAAUGGGAGGAAAAGCAUUCAAGAACCAUUGCCACAAAUAUUUUCGUUUCUGGAAAUGAACCAAAACAUCACCCCCAUUUCAAAAAUCAUCAGCCUCGGCAAUAGAAAGGGGAUGAUGACAGAAAGAAUAUGUUUGGCCAUGAAUAUUGAGAGAGACUUUCUGAAUGCAGGGCUUCUAGGUUUAUAGCUAGCUUGCUGUACGAGGGAAUGCUUAGGAUCUUUUCUUUGGUUCUCUAUUUUGGGUCAAUCAACAGGUAUUACAGAAGAUUUCAUCUGUUUCAUCUUGACAUGGAUUGCGGAGAGACAAGGUGAACCAAAUUAGCAUAUUACUCUUAUGUCACACAUAACAAUUAAUGUUAUACAACUUCUGGCAAUUACAUUCUCUAGUUAGUGGAUGGAGGAUCCUCCAUUCUAAAACAAGUUAUAACACCAACUCCACUUGAUUUUAUCUUUCAGAAUUAUUUUGAACAAGCUUCCAGCAAGAAAGUCAUCCAAAGGGCAGACACAACUUUAAUUAUUAGUUCAAAAGCAUGUCCCUGCCUGACGUAGGAACAAGCUGAUUUCACAAGAUACCUUAGCACGAGUAGCUAGGCCACUCCUACUUCAAAAAGCUUCCUUACCAACCUCUCUUGAUAACCUCAAUUGGGUUUCUCACACCAAUAAUAGCCAACUAUAAAACUAUUAAAUGUAAUUUAACUUCAAAAUUCAAAAGCAUAGCUUAAGAAGUAAACAACCAAUCUCCAACUGAGCUGGAAAAGUUGCAUCAAGAGUGCAAAAAUGUUGCUGAACUGUAAAACGUACCAUCACACAUGCACUCAUUUCACAAGUCGCCAUAUACGAGCACACAUGGCACAAAGUUAAACAGCAGAGUUAUAUAUGGAGUUUAAUGCAACCACAGAUUGCCUACACUAAUUUUUCCUUAAAUGCAAUUUCAUAAAUUCUGAUAUUUCUGUUCAAAAGGAAGUCCUGUAAGCAUUAAGAAACAACAAAAUACCCAUAGAAACAUAGCAUGAGGAGAUAAUGCUCACUUAUUAUCAUCUAGAAUCACAUGCAGUGGAUGUUACAGGAAUCAAGAGCAAGAAUUAGUUAUCACAAGUGUCAAUGAAACACUAUCUGACAAAUGAAUAUUUACAAAGUAUUAGGUCUAUGUACAACUCAAGUCAUCUUUGUUUGAAAUCCAUUUUUCUUCUUGAUAUGGGGGAAAGGAGGUAUGGAUGGUUGAAUGUCAGAGUUGACAUCACAAGUAUACAGUACAAAAAUUUAUCAUCAACUCUACAUGAACAGUAUACUAUUUUACCAAAACUGCCAAGUUCUUUGGGAAGGUAUACCUUGUGCAUGCCUCAAUAAAGAUUCCAUCCCCCAAAAUAGGGUAUAUAAGGUUGGAUUUCAGUCAACUUGUUCCUAUUGUAUUGUACCUGUUGAAUAUGGAAAAAAACUACAAGUUACAAAAUGAUGACAUUGCAAGUAAUCCAAUCCUCAACUGUUCUUUUUUUUUUUUUUUGUGGUGGUGGUGGUUGGGGGGGGGGGGAGAGGGUUGGCACAAACACACAGGAUUUGCACUAGUAAUAUGGUAAGACAAGUUUUCUAGUGGUGAUGUGUCAAGCAGCAGUAGAGCUACAUAUGUUUCAGGUUGGCCAGCUGCUAUACUCGAACUCAGGAGAGUUCUAAACUGGCCUAAAAGAAAUGAAGCUUUUUUCUAAACGUUAUCCUCAACUUUGAAUUCUCUACUACUCUCACAUUGUCCAAAACACGAUGCCCCAGUAGACUCGGCUUUCAUGCAAUAAAACUAAAAAAUUUGACUGUAAAUCAACCUCUAGUAAGAGGCUUAACGUACAAAUUUACAGUAAAUGUAUGCCAAGGAAAUAAACAGAAAUCAUACUCUACUCCUAUGUCAUGUAACCUUAAAACCUCUUUUCAAUGCUUGUUUCAACUUCUAAAAAGUGAUGGUCCUUAUCAGCAACUAGUGUAUUAUACGCAGAAGUUAGGAUUGUUUAAAUAAAAAGUGCAGACUUCACGCAGAUUAUCAAGUAUGAACAAUAAAAAGGAUUAAGAAAUUAAAGAAAAUAAAAACAUGCUACUAGAUCAUUAUGGCAAUUUGUUGGUACUUACAUGUCAAAACUUUAGGUCAUAUGAGAGAAGGCUCCUUUGCGUAUCAGUAGGAUUUACCAACCAUUUACAAAACAACCAUGCGGCCCCGACCACUGAUAGAAAUGAAAGUGUUGCUAGGAACCCAAAAUGUGAAGCAUCAUUUGCAAUUAUAGCUACCCCUAACAUUACAGACUCUGCCAAACUUGCAACAGAAACCUCUGUCGUCCCAAUAAGAUUUGCUUUGGAUUCUGGAAUUCCAGUUUGCAGAAUUUGUUGGCCAACAAUAUCAUAUGACAUAUGCCCCAAUCUUGAAAGUAUCUGUACAGUGAAUGUGCAUAGUUAACCAAAAUGUUGAAGAAACAUUGAGUGAUGACAAGAAUAUGUCUAUAAUAAAGUUUUCAAUUGUUCCACAACAUUUUGAAGAACAAAGACUUCUAGAUCACAAAAGAUAUAAAAGGACAAUUAAGGACAUUUUCUCAUGAAGAACUUGCAAUUAGAAACAUGUGACAUAAUAAAAUAAAUCAACUUACAAUCAUAAAUAAGAAGAAAAGAAGUGGUGUCUGCUGAGAAAUAGAUCCAGUCCAAUAAGCAGCAAUAGCUAUGGUAAGAAGACAAGCUUGAAAAAUCAGUCCAGCAGCUCCAGCCUGGUUAAAGGUCAUGAGACUUAGGCCUAGAAUUUGAAGAAUAUAUUUAGAAUGAAUAAAAGCAUUGCAUCUCUUAAAAAAGAAACCUUCAAAAUGCCCAAUCGCUUGACCAGGCUUGCUGAAACAAAAGUUGCUGCUACCCCCAUAAAAGCACAUAACCCACUGAAGCCUCCAAUAAUAGAUGGAUUUAAACCUGAGACAAUUUCAAGAACACCCAGAUCUUAAUUUGCACAAAACCAGCCUAGAGGUUGAACAAGAAAAGGACACAGCAUUGUGAUAGAGACACAAAAAGCUACUCAUAUGUGAUUUUUUAAGCUAUCCUCUAGCUGCGCCCCACAAGCCAUGACAACUCCAAGAUUGAAGUCCAAAAAAUACCUUGCUGAGUUAAGAAUGCUGUCAUUAAUUCACUGGGAGCAAGAACACCAUUGAAGCAGAGUAGCACAUAUGCUAGGCUAGCUGGAAGAACAGGUUGCUUCAAGUAUUCAACCAAUCCAUGCUUGAUAGCUUGCAAACUCUUGUACACUGAUAACAGGAAAGAUUAGAUUCAGCGCACCUUAGCAAGACUUGGUACACAAAUAACAGGUCCCUACUCUCCAAACAGUGGAUAACAAUAUUGUUCACCUAUAUUCUCAUCAUCUGUCAAAGAUUCAAUACUAGAAUUUCGGCCACAACUUGGAGGUUUAGGGCGUUCAAGAACACCAGCAGAUAGCUUGUUGGUUAACCAUGUGAGGAACACCUAAAUUGGACAGGAAAAAUAUCAAUAGAAUGGCACAAGGCACAGCAGAGAGCAUACAUAAUAGAGCCAAGUAAAUUGCUACCGUAAUUGGCAGAGCAGAUAUAAUCAAACCAGCAGCAAGCUUUAAGCAGGCAACCAGAGGAUAUUUAGACAGAAGAAUACCAAAUACUGAAGCUCCUGCAAUCUGCAAAAAUGUAAGACCGAAUAGUUUAUCAGACACCUGUUCUCUUAAACAUUCAAAUCAUCACUAACUAAAUCAACUGCUGAUCCAAAUAAUAUGAUUUAGGGGGCACUCAUUCAACUCGAGGACUAGUAUAUCUUUUCUUAGAUGUAGCAGAAAUUAAUGCUAAAUUGACAGUUAUAUGCACCAGAACCCCAAAAAAGAAGCAACAAAGAAGAGUAAUGACUAGAUCAAAGGAAAGGGUAAAAGAAGGCUUUCCAGAACGAACUGAGAAUGUAUUACAACAAUCACCUCGCAAAGGAGAUCAAUUCGGCUAAUGAUAGCAUUAGCUUGCGCAAGAGCAAUUGGCCGAUUAGUUCCUGCUAACUAAAAAAAUAAAAAUGCUAAUCAAUACACCACUCAAACACUUUACUGGAGUUGAAAAGGUGUAUUCACCAUGCAAGAAGACAGCAAGAGGGAGUUGAAUUAGCAGUACCAGAACAACCCAGUCACGCUCCAUUGCAACUCCCAAGGCCAAUCCAGAUAAUCUCUCUGCUGCCCCAGCCGUGACAAGUAUAACAAACCAAGGCCGGAGAAGAAUAGAUGAUGUUGAUGUGGGACAAAUAGUGUGAGCAAAAAUAAUCAUUCCUAUAGACAACAACUGAGCAGCUGCCUGACAGAAACGAAGUAUUAGGAAAGGGAAGAUCAGAAAAGGUUUUUCAUCCCAACUUAUUACGGAAAGUAAACAAAAAGUACCUGAGCAAUUGUCAAAUAGUUAUAUGCAGGUAUUCUGGGAAAAUGAUCCAUGAGCUUUCCAACUAACGGACCUCCAACAAUCACUGCAAGCUGUUGAACAUGGAACAUGUAAAAAAUGAUGUACCCUUUUCUUUUAUAUAGUUUUGCUCUUUUCUCUCAUUGUUUUCUUACUGUAAACACAGAUUAUAAAUACCUUACUGAAAAAACCAAUCACAGCAACAGGAAGAAGACUUGGAUGGAGCAAAGCAAUGGAAGCAGGCCAGGCAAAACUCCAGAGCUGUUCCACCACAUUCCCAGCCAAGCAAUUAGCAUACAGAGCUGGUAUGAUUUCACAGUCAGUCACAAGCUCAACUGAUGUACCAAUAUAGGUAAUUUAAUGAAAGUAAGCAUUUUAAUUGAACAUAUCUUUCCAUCUUACCACCUAGACAAUGCACAUAAAUGAGCAUAAAAAAUUUAAAAUCUAAUUAGUUUUCCAUCAGAGAGCAUCCUGAAAUAAAAUGAGAUUUUUCCAGCAAAAGCAUAGUCCGUUCUCUGAUUUUGAUUUUCUUCACUUAAAAGUAGAGCAAAGUUUCUGCAUUCCCAGAAAGUUGACUUGCUUAUUUUAAGCUUAUAGUGCCAUCAGUCAUUAGCACGAACCCAGCCUAGAAUUCUCAAUCAUAACUUAUAACGAACUAACCAUACAAUCCUGCGGGAUGAGCUGGAGUUGCAGCUAUGAUAUUCUGCUCUUCCUCUGACAAAACCUAUGAAGUGAAAAAGAGGAGGCAAGUUAAGCACACAAAACACCAAAAAGAAAAAGAGCUUGAAGCAACAAUUUGCAUGGUAAGAGGAUGCUUGACGAGAUCACAAUAUAAAGAAAUCUUUAAAUGGAACACAUACAGGCAAUGCUGUCAAAAGCGUGUCUACAAAAGUGCCCUCAGCCAAUAAAUUGAGUGCUUCAGUCUCCAAGACAUCAGAUUUGAGAUGGACAAUUUGAACAGAACAGUUUGACUCAGAAGCUGUGAGAUCUUCUGAAAUUUCUUCCUCAGCGGCAAGCUGAUUAAAAACAUCAGUUUCUGUUGCUGAACACUUUGGAUGAAAAUGCUCAAGCCUGCAGUAAAUCAAUAUAUAGCACAUGGUCAACAAUGAUUCAUCCCGGGUUAUGAAUUCAAUUAGCUUGAAAUUACAAUUCCCAGGUUAAAUAUGAGCAUUCAAGUAACUGAGGCCAUUUUGUGGCAAUCUCCUGUGCAAUCAGUGCUUUGCAAACAUUCACCCCAAGGUGAAGAAUCAAGUUAUUCAUUUCACAAAUGUACUGAUUUACCUUAAGAAUGGACCAGUCACUAAUUUAUUAUCUGCAACCUAUUUCAGACAAAAAAAUUUGAGAAGAAAUCUUCCUCGUCCAUGAAAUCCAUUGGAAGACCUAUCAUAAUCUUACUUCUGAAAAUGCUGAAAGACAGAACAAGUGUACGAAAAACCAGAGGAGGUUCUGACUUGAAGGUGAACUAUAACUACUGCUGCCUAGUCCCUUAUGCUAUCGUCCAGCAUGCCUGAGACAUGCCUCACUAUAUUGUGAACCAAAAGCUUAGUACAAAAUGCAAUGCACAAGGCUUCCCCCAAUAAAGUCCUAAAACCCAAAACCCCAAGUUCGUUUAAAAGGUGUCUGGGCAAUGAAGUAAAAUCCUGUUUGAAUCCCUUAUAUUUGAACUCUUUGGACUCAAAUCUCAAGGUUAUUAUACAAACUGCCAUUAACCAUUUUUUUUGUUAGAGAUUAAGCCUUAAACGUAGCAUCAGCCAUGGCAUAAUUUUGAAGCUUUCCUUUACAUAGAAAAGCAAUUCUUUUGGGACUCAUUACACUCCCAAGUCCCAAUCAUCUACUCAUAACUUGUGCAAAAGUCAUUCUUUCCCCUCCUACCAACUCUUGACUAUGCACUGAUUUAUUAGCAUCUGAAAUUUGGUACCUUUUCGCUUAAAACAGAAAAAAAAAAAAGAACCUUUCACAUAUUUCGUCUACCAUUUGCACCAAAAUGUUUCCAGAAUUAACCAAUUAUAAACACAAAAAGAGAAUAGUAUUACAAAAUCUAAGAUAAACCCAGAAAAAUACACACCUAGACGGGAUUAAUCUGGGGCAGUUCAACCAUCGACGAGAAGAGAAGCCAGGGCGUAUUCUAAGACAAGACGACUUCGGAUGAGGAGCUUGGCGAAUACUGAAGCUGAAAGUCGAACAUGAAAAAUGAGGCUGAGGAUUGGCAAUGACAACCACACCCAUGAUUGUUCCACUCUUUCUUGAUUCCUGAAGAUAGUCUGAGUCUCCAAGAACACUGCCUUGAAGCACCUCUGCUUUUGCUCUUGAUGACUACUCAUGCAGCCUUCUCAGCAGCUGAAUGUUUUAGUAUUAUCAAGGCUGCAAACAAUAAUCUUUUCUCGAGGAUUACAAUGUUGUUCGCCUUUUUUUAUUUUUUAUUGUUUAGGGGAAUGUUCUGUGUUUAGGGUUUUUGAGAGUUCUAAGAUUUCAAGAAUCUGGAGGGGUAAAAAAUUUUGAGGGCUGGCAUUUCUGAUUCCUCCUUAUCCUGCAAAAGGGGAAAAUUUUUGAUAGGAAGACACGAAGGUAAUGGACGGACAAUUCUAAAGUCCAACAACUGGAUUGUCUAAAGGCCGUUAAUUUACUGUUGACGUGUGUACAUAUCGGUCUCCAGAUUUCUGUCCGGCCAAGCUAUUUUCCUUUUUAAUUUUCAGUUGUACUUACUUCUAUUUCCUUCAUUUUUGUUCGAUGCUUUGAUCAGGCACAAAACUUGAUUUCCAAAACUGUUUGCUAUUUUGUAGUCAAUUUUGAACUCCUAUCAAAAAUUUUUUUAUAUUUUUAGUAAACACAUUUUUCAAUCUUUUUUUUAUCUUACAUAUAUCGAAUUGUUAUAAUGUACUUUUUUUUAUAAAGACUCUAAAAAAUAGCAAUCAAAACAGAGUGAAAAAUAGAUAGAAACACAUUUUACUAACGUAAUUGCACUAUCGUCGUACUCUAUAGUGCUACUAGUUACUUGAUUCUAUUGAUGUAAGACCUUAGUAAUAUUUUGAGCAAAUUGCGCGAAAUGUCACUAAACUAUUGCGAGGUGCCAGUUUUGGUCAUUAAACUUUUUUAAUUAGCAAAAAAUGUCACUGAACUAGUAAAUUUGUAUCAUUUUGAUCACUCCGUGAUCUUAUGCCGUUAGGAGAGAUGGAAAGUAACUUUUUGAGGGGCAAUUUUGUCUGCACAGUUUUUGUGGGAAAAAUUACGUCUGCUAAAUGAAGGGACAACAGUUCCAUCUCUUAAAAUCAAGAACAAAGAUGUGCUGCAAAUACAGCCACAACUAGAAAAUGUUUGAUAAAUUUGAGGCUUCUACUCCCGGCCAGGGCGAUGGAACUCUUCCAGUAAUGUUGGGUUCAUUCGAACAAGUUCCAAGAUUGAAAAGACCAAUGAAUCACAGACUAUACCAAGGCAGAGAAUGUUCUCAACAUUGUUGGAAUGAUAUGAGAAGACCAAUGAAUUCACUUCUCUCAUAAGACAUCUCUUCCCAUUCACCCGUCAAGUGAUGCUCCCAGCGCUACUGCAAAUAUCUCAUUCUGGAUUCCGAAAAGAGUUGCACCAUGGAAUCCCACAUCCCUUUGUAAAAAUCUAUGAUUGGUUGCCUAAAAUUCUCUAGCCUUUCUCGAUCUGCUACAGUGGAAGGCAAUCCAUCCUUAAGAAGAAGAGAAUAAAAACCCUGUCAACCUUGAUGAACAGAAUCGUCAAGACAUCGGGUCUGUUGCCUAAAAUUCUUCAAAAAAUCUCCAAAAAUGGAGGCUGCUGCAAUUGAGUCGAAGCUGGACAUUGCCUGAUCUAAUUCAGAAGAAGAGUAAAGCCUCCCCUUAUUUCCAUGAACAAAAUCUACAAGUCCUUUAAAAGAAUUCUCCAAUUUCCUUGCAGCCAGAAAUUUUUUUUCACUACUUCUAAUUCCCCCUUCAACUUGUCGAAAUGAUCCUACUCCGUGAAGACAUUACCCUCAAAAGCUUCAACCCUUCAUUUACCAGACGAAAGUUUUCCUACAAAAGCUGUGUAGACGAAAUUGUCCCUCAAAAAGUUACUUUCCGCCUCUCCUAAUGGCACAAGAUCACGGAGUGAUCAAAACGGUACAGAUUUUACUAGUUCAGUACAUUUUCGGCUAUGAAAAAAUUUUAGUGACCAAAACCGGCACCUCGCAAUAGUUUAGUGACAUUUCGCACUCUCAUAUUUUUCUUUGGAAGACCUAAAUGAACAUUUGAAAUCUAUAUUAAAAAAAAGCUCAAAACAAAUAAGAAAAAGUAUAGAUUGCUAAUGUUCGAUUGGGAGCAUUUUUUAAGAAAAAAAUCAUAUCAUCAUAAUCAAGUAAAUAAUCAUACUAUUGAUAUAUAUAUAUAUAUAUAUACGGUGAAAUUUUCCAUUAAUGAAGUACCUUUUUCUUUCCAUUUAAACCUAGAACACAAUAAGUAUAAUAAUAGGAGAUUUUUUAAUCCACAAAAGGGUAUUUUUUAAAAAGUGCCUAACCACUGAAAAUGUAUGUGAAAUUUGCACAAAUAAAAAGUCAUUCGAUUCUACCUACUAAGUAGAAUGUGGUGCCCCUCACGUUACGUAGAAUGCAGUGGCCAGUGGCGGAGCUAUGAAUUAACUUUGGGGGGGGGAGUCUAUAGCAAUGAAAGUAAAAUAUAUUUACAAAAAAAAUAAUGUGAACAUAUAUACCACAAGAUUAGAAACAACCUUAUAUAGAAUGAAAAUUACUUAUACGCUUCACAUAUAUAAAAAUAUCAUCAUAUUUACAAAUCUAUUUGACUGUGUGAGACAUAUGAAAUUGUGCACGACGACUUUUAAUUUUAUCAAAGUCAUCAAUGAUUGAAUUUAUAUCAAAAGUUCUAGCAAUUUCUUUCUCAAUAUACAUUAUCAUAGAGUUAGCAAGAAAGUCUUCCUCCAUCCUAGAACGCAAACAAGUCUUGAUGAUUUUCAUAGCAGAAAAUGCACGCUCUGUUGUAGUUGUUGAAACAGGAAGAGUCAAAAUAAGACGAAUCAAUCUAUCAAUAAGAGUAUAGCACAUUGACUUUCUUGUCUUUGCUAACACUUGGCACAACUCCUAAAGUGAUGACAAAUUUUGAAGCUGAGAAUUAUAGGAAAACUCAAUUUGGAAAAGUUCUAAUUGAGUUCUUAAGUGUAACUUCUCUUGAUCUGUGAAGUCACCUGAAUAAAACUUAUUUGCAAGUUGACAAAUUUGUUCAAUAUUGAAAGCCUGAAAAUUAUCUUUGGGGUGCAAUGCUGAACUAAGAAUAAGCAACUCUAUUACAUCUUUCUUAAACCUAUUCUUCAUUUCAAGUAUUUGAGAAUCAACCGUUGCCAAAAUACAUCAAUCCUGUAGUGAUGCUCCAUGUUAAUUGGAUCAUUUUGUUUUUGAAUUCUUCCUCGACCUGUUUUAUAAAUGACAUUCAUAUCAAGCAUCUCUAUAUUUCGUGCAUCACAAAAUGUCUUUACAUUGGUGAACAAUUCAUUCCAUCCAUUAUCUCUAUAACUUUGAAGUCGAUCCUUUGUUACUGAAACCAAUUUAAAGACAUUCAAAAUAUCUUGAGAUUUGCAUUGUAAAGCUUGAGAAAGUACUUGUGCAAAUCCUAAAAUGUCCCUCGUCAUAUGCAUAACAAGAACAAAAUCAAAGGAUGUCAUGAAGUCGUAAACUCUGUUAGUUUCACUUCUUUGAGUUGAUGUAUUUCCAUAAUUGAUAACAUCAAUUAGGACAGAGCAAAUGUCUUCAUAUUCUGUGAAUAAGUUACAGAUAGAACUAAAAUGAGACCCCCAUCUUGUAGUCCCUGGCCGUUUUAAGGUACCAAUCUGAUUCUGACCCCUACCAGUCUCAAGUUCAUCAAUAGCAAUCAAUUCAGCAAUUAUAGCAGCUCUCAGUUGGUCCUCACGUUUGCAAGAAGAUGAAAUUAAAUUUAUAAGAAGAGAUAAGUAUGUAAAGAAUUGUUCCACAGGAAUUACCUCUUGAGAUGUUGCUACCAAUGUUAAUUGCAGUUGAUGAGCAAAACAGUGAAUAUAAUAUGCAUAGGGGCAUUCCUGAAUAAAUAAUGCUUGCAGUCCAUUCCAUUCUCCACGCAUGUUACUAGCUCCAUUAUAUCCUUGGCCACGAAUGUUUGCACACUAAGAUUAUGGCGAGAAAGGACAUCACAUAUCUCCUUCUUCAAAGUCAAGGAAUUGGUUUCGUGCACAUGAACAAUGUCAAAAAAUCUCUCUCGAAUAUAGCCUUGCUUGUCCACAAAUCUAAGAACAAUAGCCAUUUGCUCUCUUUUUGAUCUAUCUUGAGCCUCAUCAACAAGUAUAGAAAAUUUUGAAUCACUAAUCUCCUCUCGAAUAUACUUUUGUAUCUUGCUCGACCAAAUGGACAACAUCUCCUUUUGGAUCGUAGGAGAAGUACAAGAUCCAUUUCGAGGAGCAUUAUCAAGGACCAUAGUAGCCACUUUUUCAUUAUAAGAAGACACAUGCUUGAUCAACUUAAUAAAAUUAUCUCGAUUGUUAGAAUCUAAACUUUCAUCAUGACCCCUAAAAGCCACCGCUUGAAAUGUACACCAUUUUGCAGCAUCUAUGGAAACUUGAAGUUGCAACCGAUUUUUUGCAACCUGCUCAGAAUUUUGCUUCUCAAUAAUUUUAUCAAGAUGUUGCAAUGAGUUUCCCAAAUCAUGAUAGCAUUGCAUUGCCACUUUGUGUGAUGAGUUAUGAUCUUUUCCAAUGUGAUUUAAAAAAGCACAAUUUUUUCAUCAUUUACCUUCUUCCAUGAUCUAAAUCCACUAGUUGUGAAGGCCAUUGAUCCAAAACGGUUUGUUGGCUUGGAAAAAAGUGAGCAAGGAAGACAAAAGACAGCAUUCUUUGUUGGAAAAAAUUCCAACCAAUCUGGAAACAAUUUAUACCAAGAGAAAAGGAAACAUCGGCCCUUCUUGUCAACAACCAUUGAUUCAAUCGGAAGCUCAGGUUGGUAUGGCCCAAACUUAAUAUAUGCUCUUCGUACCUCAUCCCUUUGAUGCUCUAGAUAUUCCCAAAUGGAUUUUCACUUUGCAGGAUCACGUUCUAUGGAUGAAAUAUCAAACUCUAAUGAUUCAGCUCUACAAAAUUUCUUUGUUUGAUGCUUAGGAGAAGAAUCACGAAGAGGGCAAGAAGUUUCACCGCUUCCACUUGGUUCUAGACGUAUUUUCUUGAAAAAAGAAUCAAUUGUCCUGUUAGCCAUUACCACUAUAUUUGCAACAAAACAAUAACCUGUAAUCGAAAUAAAAUUGAUUGAGAAAUACUGGUUAUAGCCUAUAGAGAUGGGAAUUUGACCAAUGCAAAAGACUGGUUUCCCUAAUUCCCUUACAAAUUUCGGCCAUUCAGCUUGACUGAAAAGCCCGGCCAUCACCCAAGGAAGCCAACAGGAUCCUCAAAAUAAAAUUAGUAUGAAAAUUAGAAAAGGAAACCAGUCUCAGAAUCAACUAAAAUAAAUGCUUAUCACCCGAAUUCAGAAGGCCAAGUACGAAAAACAAUACAAGUCCCUCUCGAGUAAUUCAUCAAACAACUGGCGGACGAACUGUUUACACCCACAUUUCACUAAAUAAAUGCAAUGUCAAACUAACCUGGUAAAUGGUAAUAGAUUGAAAUUUCAGAGCUUUUGGUACAUCCAGUUUCAAAGCCGCGCGUUUCAAUUUUUGCAGAAAAAUUCGUGUGAGAACUGAGGAGUUACAAUUCUCUACCAUAGAGCAUUAGCUUGUAUUUUGAAAUGAAAAAAAAAAAAAACUGCAGAUCGAAGAGGGAAUUGAAGUUGGGAGUUGAGAGUUGAGACUUUUCUGUAAGAAAAAAAUAAGAGGUGAAUUGGUGAAAAACGGCAAUUGUGAAGUUCAGAAAAUAAUAGGUAAGUUAUUUGGACUAAGUCUGUUAUUCUCCGUUAAGAAAAUAGUGGUAAUUCUCUGUUAUUUGGACCAAGUCCAAAUAACUUUCAAACAUUAUUGUUUGGGCUCUUGGGGGGCAAAGUGAAUUUUUUGAUCAAUUUUUGGGGGGGCAAAACAUAAUAAUAAAAAAAAUUUUACUUAGAAAUUUUUUUUUAACAAUUGGAGGGGGGCAACCCCCCUUCCCUCCGCCCCUGGCAGUGGCCUUAGUUGGUAAGAACCUCAUAAAAGGUUGUGUUUAGAUCUCACGAUCGAUGCUCUGAUUUCGUGGAUUAUGACACUCUUCAUGUUAUAUAGAAUGAAUCACUGUCGUUAGUUGGUGAGAACCUCUUUUUCCUAAAAUGUUGUGUUCGGAUCUCACUAAUGCUGCUUUCACUUGUGACAGUAAUUUGAAUCGAAAUCACAUAAAUAUUUUUCUUAAAAAAAAAAAGGUAGAAAAGGAAUCACGGCUAGCACUUUAACAGCCAUGACUACAACCAUUUCAAAGAAACUGCAUAAAAUCAUCCUAUAUCCCCAGUCAUAUCAACCCCCUACCAAAGGAACAUGAACAAGGAUCACACGCUAUGCAAGGAAUAUAAAGAUAUAAAAAUGAACUCAUUACAAGAAAAGAAAAAAAAAAAUCAAUGAUCCUAUUGUAAAUGCAGAAUGUUGCACCCAUAACAUAGCAGAUGGAGGGGUCACGGGUCUGGUUAUGAUCAAAUUGGAACCUAUUCUCAUUAAUUUUGCAACAAAAUUCUCCUAUUUAACAUGGAAGUUAUUGCAAACAGUAGAAGUCUACUGGUAAGUUAUGCUUUAAUGGCGAUGCAUUAGCCAGUGAUAAAUUAUACCCCUUCGAAGCUGAAUAAAGAAAAUACUUUUCCAACUGUAUAAUCCAAAAACAAAGAAAUGGCCAAGAACUCCGACGUAGGAAAAGAAUUUUUCCACAUUCUACCUGGCAUGUUUUUCAUGCAUGAACCAUUAAGUGGUGUCCACUUUCUCCAAGAAUGUGCUUAUACAUUAGUUUUCUGUCACGCAAUUCCUAGACAAAUUCAUCGAAAGAAACAAUACGCUGAGAUUCCACAGUAAUGUGUUGUAAACCUUGGAAGCCAAAAUCCCACAAAGAAUUGGCCUCCAUUCCACUACCAACGGUGGAUAUCUUGUCUACUGGGGACCAAUGUCUGAUGCAUGCACGCCACCUGUUCGAGCAUUUGCUGACAAAGAAUUAAAUUAUGAACAGUUUGUGGUAUUCUGGUGCCCACUUUCAGUACGAUGGUGGUUUUAAUUUCCCAAGGUUGAAGCAGCCAUCCACCCAACCGAACAGGAAAUGCGCUUUCAGCCCACAAUUGAUUAGGGGGUUGCGAGAAAAUGGGUAGAAAUAAGAGGAAUGCUUAUGCAAGGAUGAAGAAAAUCAAGGAAUGUGAUGAGCAUAAUCAGAAUCAGGAUCACUCAGCUCAACGUUCUGAUGAUAAAAAUGCUUGUGAGGAAGGGGUUUCGGAGAAGGCCAUCACUGAUCAGCAGAGUUUGGAAGAAAAGUCUGCUAUUGAUAAUUUCUAUGAAAAGCUUAUCAAGUUGAAUGAGUCCUCAGGGCUCAGUUUAGUGUAAGUCUCUUAUGUUCCAAUCUUUUAGUUUAACACUCUGUAGAAAUGAGUGUGUCCAUGCAUGCACGCCUCAGCAUGUAUAAAGACUAUAGAGCAACUUGCUAAGUUCCUGAAUUGUGGUUUUAAACUUAAAGAUGUUUUUUGUUCUAAGUUUUCCUUUGGAUUAUUAAAAUGCUGAAAAAACACAUAACUAGAUGUUCUCUGUUCUCCAGAAUAAAAUGAUCUCACCCACUACAAUGUAUGUUAAUUCAUGUAAUGAGUAAUGAUCUCUUAUUUUUAUCGAAAUAUACUUAUGUUUGAGCUCUGUUUUCUUAGAAUUAGAAGGUCUAACUCUAACAAUAUGUGUUGAAAAAUAAUUAUAACUUUCUUAUUGUACUUUGUACCUUUUUUCGUCAAGGAGAGGAAAAGCGAUUUUGAUCUUUAGCUUUUGAGUCUUACCAGAGACAAUCUAGUUGAAAGAGAAGAAUGAGAUUUAUAAAUUCCAGAAUGGAAACCGUCGACUUUGUUACAGAUUUUCAUUUGCAAAACAUCAAUGACUAUGUUUAGUAAUGAGGGCUCUGCCUGUUAUGUUUAGUUAGUUCGGGAAGUUUGCUGUGAUUCAAGUCAUUGUAAAGCAAUGCUCUACACUGGAAGAGAGAGAGCUCAUGUUGUGAUAAAUGACAAAAUGAGUCCUAACUAGAUUAUUUAAAUUUCAUUGGUUGUUAGAAUGAUCCUUUCUCGAGCUACUUCGAUGUGCAUACUUGGUUAGGGUUACGUUGGUUUGACUCAUUUUUCUUACCGAAAGUAAUUUGAUUGAAUAAAAAUGGCAGCUUUAACUUCCGGGAAGCAAAAAUGGACUUGCAUCUUGUUUUCAAGGAAGUGACCGAGAGAGGGGGAUCUUAUCAGGUAUAUCAUGGCUUUUCAAUUUGAAGUAACUUAUGACUUAUUCUUUCCAUAGCGCUAUCAAAGUCAUCACUAUCUUUUUAAUUCUCGAUGGGCACAUCUAUCCUUCACUCUUUCUCCAAUUCAAUCAUUUUUCACUUUAACAAACAGUUUUGCGCACACUCGUAGUUUGUAGUACAUGUGGGAGUCAAUCGGUAUACUUUUAUAGCUGAAUUUGAAAAUAAAAGUCGAUUCCUUUUCUGAAAGAAACUCGAGAGACAAAAGAAACUUUGGUUAAUUUUUCAACUAGAGGACUUCAGACAUUCUUAUUCACAGGCGAUUUUUCAACUAGGUUUUCUGUUUGUAUAAAGCAAUGGAUGCUAAUUGUGCAUUUAUGGCUUAGGGCUGAGUUGUUUCUCCAUAACAUCUCCCUGAUAUUUUUGGGUUUUUGCUGACAGUUCAAUAUAUAGUUAGCUUUACUUGAUACAUCUUUUUCAGUUUUGUGAAGGGGAUCAAACUUAUUAAAAGGAUUUUAAAGUUGAACACGUGUCAGAAUCAUUUUAGUCCCUGAUGUUUAUAUUACCAGGCUGUCUGUGUACCAUGGUAGUGUUUGGCCAUGAUUUUGUUUAUCUAGGGUUACCUUUAUUAAUUAAAUAAACAAUGUGAUUCGAAUAAUGAGCCUUAGAAAAAGAUGGAGACUACGAAAAAUAUAAUUUGACAAGAACAAGUAAUUCCUCCUACAAGAUAUAUAUGUCAGAAAGCCCCUUGCUGUAUAUAAACUGAAAUUCCAUCCCUAUAUUUUGUUGAUUAGGCAAUUGUUCCAUCUCUGGAAUUAUAUAAGCUUUCAAAUAAAUUUCAGGUUUCAAAAGAUGGGAAAUGGAAUGAAGUUGCAUCCGCAUUGAGUGUCAAAAAUCAUGCCCCCAUCUUACCAAGUCAAAUUCAAAAGGUUUAUGAAAAUCUCCUUUGCCAAUAUGAGCAAAUACACCACUACAGGACUCCUGCAAAAGUGUCAAAACUGACAGGUAAACAAGCUACUAAAAUUGCUUUAUUCGUUUAGUUUAGAGCCCUUCCGUCAUUAUGAGUUUGAUUGAGAAAUUUGUAUGUAUGGUUUCAACCAUGCAGCUGUAUGUUUUUCCUAUUUAUUUAGCUUUGGAGAUAAAAGAAUACUGUCUCCUUAUUUUUCUGAGCAGCAUAGGCAUAAUUUGCAGGUGGUGAUAGUUAUGAUUCCUUGCUCGGGAAGCGAAAAUCCUGUGAAUGCUGCUCUCAAGAUUAUGAAGCAGGAAAAAGGAAAUGCAUUCUUGAUAUUUAUCAAGGAUCAUCAGGUUCAUAACUUUAUCUUUCCUUAAAAGUUGAAAUCAUGCAUAGAUUAAAUAUACAUGAAACCUUUUGGAAAUGUUCUGGAGGUGCCAGAAGGGUAAAAGUAUCAAGUCAAUGUAGUGCUAUACAGUCUGAGCUAGCAGGGGUUGGAAUUUUUUUUUUUUUAACAUUUCUUCAUAGAGGUUUAAUCUAUUUUGAUUGAUGAGUCACUUAAGGGCUACUCAGAUUUCAUACAUUCAUGUUGCUACGAGUACUUAUCAGUAACUCAUUAGUGUGUCAGUGCAUUCGAUCCUUGAGUUGUGCCACAAUGACUUGGAUUUUGAAUUAAAUGCACAGUACAACAAGCCCUUGGAUCCCUGUUGGAUUGUGCCACAAGCACUUGAACUUUGAAUUAAUGCUUUGGUCUUAUAACUUGGAUUUUGGAUUUCUUCAAUUCGUGCUGAUUAUUUUAAGAUGCUGUUAUUCUCAGCUCUGAGAAAUCAGCAUGAAAACUUUGAUCUAUUACAUGGUGCACUAAAACUGGAAGAUUUUGUUAGUGACUUGAAUGUACCUAUCCUUUUUGUGGUAAUCAAUCUUGAAGUUCGAGCAGGGCCUGGAACACCAGAGCAGAAAACCACCUUCCAGACAUCUUUGGAUGAGGAAACAGUGAUGAGACAUAUUUGUGCUCCACAAAAAGCAAGAAAUUCAUAUCAGCUGUUUCUUAAGAUGGAAUGUCAGAGAUUAAGGAAGAUACACGGGGAAGCCUCUGGUAGCCGUAGCAUAAGAGAUAGGGCAAUUGACGCAUGGAAGCACCUUUCCGAAGAUGAUCGGCUGGUAUAGUUCCUUCGAUCUUUUCAUCAUUUUUUGUCGUAGCAGUAAGCUGUACAGAUUGAAAUAUGUUGAUAUGAUAUGUCUUCUGCUGCAUGCUGAAACCACAACUUCUUUAAUUUAGCUGUUAUUAGGGAAAACAGUACCGUUUGAGGCUAGAACCUUAACACCAAUACUAAAUGUGCCCUAUCAUUAGCUUUAACGUUGUUCAUGUGUGUUUGAUAUUUCCUGCAAUUUUCCUAGGCCUAUUUUUGCUUCUGUAGCUGCCGUUUUUUGAUUGCUGAAGUAUUCAUUGCACCUCUGCAAUGACAAGUUAUACAAUUAAUAUCAGAAUAUUUGGACCUCUUACAAAUUGAAUGAUGCUUACUUCUGAUGAUUUGUGCUCUUUCAUUUUGCAGCCAUAUAUUGAAGCAAGUAGGAAGGACAGAGAAAGAUUUUACAGGGAGAUGGCAGUUUACAUGCAAUAUAUUGACAAAAAGGUUCUGAAAUCCGAGAAUACGCUCAAGGAUUCAGCUUCAGCCCUAAUCAACUUUGGCCAGUCUUCACUAAUAAAUGAUGAUUAUUAUGUGACUUUGGAGGCUGAUGCUGAAAACUUUUGUCUUCCCGAUGAGUCAUUGGUUGAAUCAACCAUUCAAAUGUUGAAGACUCGACGACCCAGUGACCCCAUGUUUCAGAUGACUUGGGACGGGUUCCGUAGCCCUCCAGAUACACCCAGUUGAAAGGCUCACAGGAACCCAUAAAGGGCAGUUGCUUGGUAAUUUUGGCACGGAAGGUGCAUGGGUUAGGUUUCGUUAUAGGUGUCUUCAACUCUCAUUGUGGAUAUAAGAGAGUGGUCUAUGCGCUUGGGUCCGUGUUCUUAAUAUGACAUAUCAGUGGUUUAUGUUAUCCUCAACUUGUUUGUAACCUAGUAUUGGUGCCUUGACUCCCCAUUUUUGUCUGCAAAGUAUGGUAUCUGUCUAUAUGCACAGACUGUACAGCACCGUACAUGUAUAACUGGGGAGUGACUGAGUGCCAUUUCGGUGCUGUAGUGUUCUGUAGUUUGUACAUAUACUGCUAGCUGUGGCCUUCCACUUGAUGUAUAGUAAGCACAAUCUUUUCUAAAUUUAUCUUGCAGCCAUUUUUGUGAAAAAUCUGCUUGCAUUCCUCAAACUGGACCAUCUCUGUUGAGCUUGAAAAUCUUGAUAGUUGAUAUCAAACUAUACUAGUUGAAUAUCGCAAUGUAGAAAUCAAUUACUCCUCGAGUCGUAGUAGUUGGUCAUUAAGAGAGUUUUAAGGUUCUACUUGAAUUUUCUAGAAAAAUUUUGCCAGCGGGUGCAUAGGCACUCGUUUGGACCGGUGGUUCAAUCCCCUUAAGUUCUCCUUUGACUCCUUUGGAUUCUACUUAGUGAACUCCUUUGGAUUCUACUUAGUAUAGAGUAGGAGUAGGUUUAGAUUACUCACCAUUCACCGCGUGUCUGCUUACCACUAGGGAUUACCAAUUUUAUCCUUUGGGAGUUCCGGUUUUACACUUUUAGGUACUUGUCCAACUAUUCUCUUUGGCUUUUGGCUUUGGAUGCUAUUUUGUGCCAGUCUGCUAGAUAAAUACAUAAAUACCCCUUUCGGCACUCAAGAAGUAGUAGCCAUCAAACAAAAUGAAUUAUUAACACAUAUGUACUAAAUACGUAGAGGUGUGCCAAGAGAGCUGCUUUUUUUGUGAUGUGGCAAAAUAUUAUUGGACGAUUUAUGGUCGUCCUUGUACGUGAGGAUUGCCCCUGUUUGUGCAAACAAAAAUUCAGAAUGGAAAUGUUAUUACUCUAUUUUUCAAAUGAAUGCUGCAUGCCUUCACUUUCCUUGCACCCGAUUGGACCCCUUUAGCAGCAUUUCUGUUUCGGUGUGUUGGGACUUGAUUGUCAUCAUUGUAAUAACUGAGCUUACAUAUGUACUAAAUGCGUAGAGGUGUGCCAAGAGAGCUGCUUUUUUUUGUGAUGUGGCAAAAUAUUAUUGGACGAUUUAUGGUCGUCCUUGUACGUAAGAAUUGCCCCUGUUUGUGCAAACAAAAAUUCCGAAUGGAAAUGUUAUUACUCUAUUUUUCAAAUGAAUGCUGCAUGCCUUCACUUUCCUUGCACCUGAUUGGACCCCUUUAGCAGCAUUUCUGUUUCGGCUUUUCCCAAUGUGUUGAGACCAAGGUUUGUAAAAUCGGGAUCCUACGUAGGAUCGAUUUUAGUUUCACAGGAUCGGAUCGUAGGAUCGGAUCGUAGAAUCGUAAGAUCCUACCAAAAGCUCUUAAUUGCAAUUAAAGGUUGCAAUUCUUUGAUAAAUUACAAAUAUACCACAAAUAUUUUCAUUUAUUUGCAAAAUGGAGCUUCGUAUUUCACAAAUUUACAAAAAAUUGUAGGAUCGUACGAUCCUACGAUCCUAUACGAUCCUGAACGAUCCUGCACGAUCCUACACGAUCCUGCUACGAUUCUAUGCGAUCCUGCAAAAAAUUAAUAUGAUUUGCGACUCUGCAUACGAUCCGGAUCGAUUUUGGUUAUCCGGAUCGUAGGAUCGUACGAUCCUACGAUCCGGAUCGCGAUUUUGACAACUAUGGUUGAGACUUGAUUGUCAUCAUUGUAAUAACUAAGCUUAGUUGACUAUAAGGACAGUUAUAUUACAAUUUUGCCCUUCCAUUAUAAUUUUCUUACCGGCCAUAACAAGUUCAUUUUGUUCUUACCGUUUCCUUCUUCUUCUUCAUGUUCAUGUCAGGAGGUCAAUUCCUAUUUACCUUUGGGUUGUAUUUGUAAAAAACCAUAACUCUAAUCACUGUUGACGGCUAUUGGAAGGAGGAUUGUAGCAGUUUCUUUAUUCUGUCCAACCUACCGCUGUUUCUUUGCUCUGUCCAACCCACCGCUGCAGGUAGAGCUAUGCAUUGUUGCCGGCAUUUUCUUCUUGUGCUAAUGGUUAGUGAUGUCUUUAAUUUUUGCAUUUCUUUUUUGUAUCAUUGUUUAUAGCACAACAUCCUAUCUUCUCUUUUACAUGAUUGUCUUUGGCAGUUGCUUUGUUUGAUUCUCAUUUUCUUUUUUAUUGCUCUGUUCCUUUGAAGCUGCUUCUUCGUUUUGUUCUCUUUCAUAAAGAUUGGUCAGAUGAGCUAGCUGCCAACCGGCGUUUUAUCCAUCAGAAUAGACAGAACAAGGUGAACAUUUUUUUGCCCUUGGUAUUUCUUUCUUGUGCAAUUUUGCAGAUUUGAUAGGAACCUGAGCCACCUAGGUUCUUUUUUUCCCUCGGUUUAUUCAAAUAAUGAUGAUUGAUAGUUCAAAGAUGGAGUAUAUGGAUUUAAACAUAUGGUCUUUGGAUUAUUUGGUUUUAGAAACUGAUUUGGAAAUCCCUUCUUUUACCUGAAUUUUUCAUUACAAAGUACAACUUUGGAGCUAAUAGAACUAGGAAAAAAGAUGGAAUAGCGUAAGAAAAGAACUUGAGGAGGGGGAGGGUAUUGCAAUAUAGCAAGCUAUAUCUUUUGCUAGACCAUAUAGAGAACCCAAAUGAUGGUCCUGAUGCAGUCCUCAGAGGUAUUUUUAUCACUAGAAAGCAGUUUUAUGUGUGUCGUUUGCUGAUGGGCUUCCCAGUUUCCCUAACAUGUAUAUCUUGCUUUUGUUUUGGAAUCACAAUGUGCAGUAGGGAAAUGACAGGAAGUAUCAAACGAAAUUUGUUCACAAGUUGGUUCUUGAUAUCCUGUGAUCUAUCAUAAUGGCUAGAAGUUACUUUUGUAGUUUUAGUUUGCUUUUUUGUUCUUGAUAUGGAGUAUUCUGGCUUCAAAUAGUGGUGUUUUGCACGGCAUUCACCAGGUGUAUGUCUUCUCCUAUUUGGAUAAGUUGUUAUGCCAAUGCCUUUUAUUUGUCUUUCACCUUUUCCAGUUUGAUUUUUUUGGCCGUUCGGUAAAUAUUAGAACAUGGGGUAGUAUUAACUCGAUAGACCAAGUUUUCUAAUAGCAAUUCCCUUGGUUACAACUUUUUAUGUUGUCUCUAAUUAAAUCACCAGGGACUUGUGUUGCCACGACUCCUUGCUCUUUCUCUAGCCUUACUGUUUUAUUGUCUUCCUUAGUGUAUUCUACCUGAGUAUCUCUUCUACAAGCUAAGGUUACCUAUUGCAAGCUCUGACUUACUGGAUAGUGUUUGAUUCACCAGUAGAAUAAACUCUUUGAAGGAUAACUAGAUAAAUAACAGUCAACAAGUAAUGUCUGUAAUAGUUCCAUGGCCAUGAUGAAGCUGUUUGAUGCUAAUUGUCACCUACAAGAAAUUUCUUGUGUUAUUUGAUUCUUUGUUCUACCUUUCAAUUGUCCAUUAUUUAUUCUUAUUUGUGUUUUGCAUUUUUCUCCUAUUUCCUCUUUACAUUUUGCGUGCAGUUUUCUUCGUCCGUGGUUGCUGUAAAGAACUUUCUUUCUUCUUCAUCUUCUGUUAUAUAUCUGCAGCUUGAAUUGUUUCAGGUUAGCUGAUCUUUCUCUCUUUUUUUUUUAUAGAUUUUUGUUCUACCAAUUUUUUAUUUCUUCGAUAUUUACUAUUAAAUACUCUGCAACCUGUUUUUUUAAAAAUUUUGCUGUAGGUUACAUGUUUGUUCUUUUUUCCCCCUGUUUAGUUUUUGUUCUGGCAGUUUUUGUUUCUUCUUAAAGUCUUGCAAAAGGAUAUGAGUUUGUCCAAUAAUUGUUUGACAGAUCUUUCGUAUUUUGAUGUCAUUUAUUGAUUAGUUUUCAUAUACUCCUUUAUUUUCCUGUUGUAUUCAAUAGAUAUUAAUCUUUACAUCUGUUUCUACUGUAUAUCUAUUUCUUUCCUGGUUCUGUUAGUUGAAUUUUAUUGUUCGUUGUUGUGUUGGUUUUAGAUACUACUUUUCUCUCUUUUGUCUCAUUUUUCUUUUGCCUGUGCUUUUGUAAAUUAUUUUCUGUUCCUUGUUCCUUGGUUAAUUAAGUUAGAUGGAUAGAAGUGCAAUACGCCGAAAACGAUACGCAGAAAUGCCCCAAAACGAGAAGGCUGCGCUUUUACCUCGCCGAAGUGAAGCUAGGGCUGCAAAGAAAAGAAAGAAUCAUCACGUUCUUUUGUUCGUAGUGUUCCACUUGGUUAUGUUGAAAUAGGUGUAUUCUUCCCUAAUUCUUCUUCACGUGGAGAUAGUAACAUUCAGGAUAGUCGGAACAACGAUGUCACACUGAAUGAAAUGUUACAACAUAGGUCGAUUGGUUUUGCUAAUGAUCAGGAUGUUCUGAUUAAAGAGGGAUUGGACUACAUGACCAGUAGUGGAGCUGCUGUCACUAAUGUUUCUGGUCCUACUCCUCCUUCUGUUGUUCCCAUUGAAUCAAAUCCACUUUUUAUUAUUCCUGAAGGUAUAUCCAGCCUGAUUUUUCCCUACAGAUCAGCCAUGUCUUUGUCACUCUAUUGUUAUACCAGUAUCUUGCCUUAUUUUUAAUUAGGCAUCCUAUCCUGCUACAAAUCCAGCCUUUAAUUUAUAUACAUUACAGAAACUUCACUUAUCGGUGAGCUAGGGAGUGGAAAAGGUAGGAAAAAAACUAGUACGAUUAUGCAAAGAGAAGAACAAUGUGGAUCUUCUCAUGAUUAUCAUGCAGCACAGUCUUCUAGGAAAAGGUACAUGAAUACCGUAUUGACAAAACCAUCUCUUAUCUAAAAAAAAACACUGUUAUCCUUUCUGCUAAGAAUAAGCCAAAAUUUGAUCUUCAAACAUGUAUCAGCUCUGAAUCUUUAAGUCAUUCAUCAGUAAACUCUAUUCCUUCUUCUAUUACAUUGGAUCCUCAGCUAAGAAAUAUUACUGACAAGCAAAAAGAAGCAUGCUUUCCAAUUUCUAAUCUUUGGUCUACUGUUUAAUCUUCUAGGCAGCAACGCAAGAACACCUCGUCAAAAACAUUGACUCGGGGUCCUCAAAACAGUACAGUUCUGCCUAAUGAGAUUAACCAGAGGUUUAAUAGUCAGAAUCAGAAUUCAGAUAAUGCUUUUCAUCAUAUGAAUGAGCCAAAUUCAGAAAUCAAUAAUGUUAUCAACUACAAAUCUUUGGAUCACUUUUCAACAGACCAUGCAUCUUCUUCUACUCAAGUUGAUUCUGAAUCUAGAUGUCUCUCUAAAGGUAUAAUAUUGGUUCUUUAAAUUGUUAUCUUUGUCAAUAUCUUUUGCUAUUUCUUUGGUUUCUUCUGAUCACAGAAGAAAAAAAAAGAAAAUGCACUAUCCACCAUAUCUGUAAUAUAUCUAUACCAAGAUAUUCUGCAAUGGAGAUCUUAUUAAGAUUUACUAUUGUAGUUAUCCAGCCUUGCAAUGAAAAUUCAGCUUUGCAACAUCAAGCAAAGGCUGAUGUUGCCAACAGAAGAAAAAGACAUAGAAAUCGUUGUAAUCUUACCGCUACUAUUACUCCUCCCAGGCCAAAACGUAGCCAUCCUGUUCGUAACAAUGCCCGCGUACCAGUUUGCAUUUCAUUUAUUAGUGACCCUAAUACUGUCUAAGUCAUUUUUAUACUAUUUUCUCCCUCUUGCAAAACUGGACUUUGUUAUUCUAUCAACUAUAUUGAUCCAUCUACAGGGGCAAAAUGGUAGUGGUGCUAGGACAUAUCUUUCAAGAAUUGAUCAUAUUCCUGAUGCACCUUUACUCCUUCCUGAUGCUCCUAACUGUCAAUAUUGUGGGGCUAAGAGGUUUUAUUUAGAACUUCCUACAUUUUGUUGUUUCAAAGGAGAAAUCUCUAUUGUCGCUCCUCGCAUGCCUUAUGCUCUCAAGCGUCUUUUCACAGGAAAUGAUGAAGAGAGUGAGCAUUUUAGAAAAUUAGCUCGUACCUAUAAUAACAACUUGGCUUUCACAGCUUUUGCUGCAAAAUAUGAUUCCGAAUUAACAAAGAAUACGAAGGGUGUUUAUACUUUUCGUGUUCAAGGCCAAGUUUAUCAUUUUCUCAAUAGCUUAUCACAAUCAGGUGAUAGAUCUUCUGGAAUUCAGCUAUAUUUUUUUGAUACUGAUGAGGAGCUCAAAAGAAGAGUAGCUAGCUGUGACAAGUUGCGUGAGAGCACUUUAAGGUUGUUGAUGGAUAUUCUUUCUGACAAUCCUUAUGCUAGAUUUUUCAAAGAUCUCAGAGAUGUGCCAAAUAUUAACAACUUCAACAUUGCUCUUAGUUGCUACCCAACUCUAGACCAGCGUGUAUAUAAUCUUCCUUCUACUUCUCAAGUUGCUGCAAUAUGGACUGAAAGUAAUGACGAGUCUCUUGAUAAACAAGCACAUAUUCUGGUCUGUAGUCACUCAAAUACAAGUCAUAGGAUUCAGCACUACUACGGUUGUUAUGACCCUUUACAAUAUCCUUUAUUAUUUCCUCGGGGUGAAUCUGGAUGGCACCAUGGAAUUAAACGAGUCUAUAAGAGAAAAAGAGGUGAUGCUUUAUGUGAGGAUGAAGUUAAUAUUGAUCCAUUUUCUGUUGAACACUCCUCUGAUUUGAUUGAUCUGGAAAGAAGAGGCAAGUGCACAUGCUGUCUUCUCAAAUUUCUGAAUAUUAUUUAAAAUAAAUACAUUUCUUCAUUCAUAUAUUGUUUCUUUCCUUUUUAUAGCUGCUGACUGUGGCAAGAAAGAGGAAUAUACUGUCUCGACUAGAGAAUAUUAUUGUUAUAGAUUUCAAAUUAGAGAUAAUGAUGAAUCCAUGUUGCUGCAUACACUUAGAUUAUUACAGCAAUUUUCUGUUGAUGGGUAUGUAAAGAUUGAAACUUCUAGGUUGGAUUUUCAACGAAAAAGACAGAAUGAUAUUCGGACUGAAAUUCUUGAGGGAGUGAUGGAUAGUCUUUCGGUAGGCCAGACUGAAGGUUCAAAGGUUGGUCGUAAAGCGAUAUUACCAGCUUCAUUCAUAGGCGGACCACGAGAUAUGAGGCGUCGAUAUCUUGAUGCCAUGACCUUGGUUCAAAAGUAUGGAAAAUCUGAUAUUUUUCUUACAACGACAUGCAAUCCGAUGUGGAAAGAAAUUCAAGACAACCUGUAAUUUACAGAAAAACCUCAAGAUAGACCAGAUCUUUUAUCUAGAGUUUUCAAAGCAAAAUUUGAAAUGCUUAAAUAUGAACUUUUAGAUAAGAAAAUCUUUGGAGAGGUAGCUGCAUGUAUUUAUGUUAUUGAAUUUCAAAAAAGAGGAUUUCCUCAUGCUCAUUUAUUAUUAAUUUUGAAACCACUGUUCAAGUUGUUGAAUCCUCAAUCUUAUGAUAGGAUAGUAUCUGCCGAGCUCCCUAAUCCUCAUCAAUAUCCUCAUCUAUACUCUCUUGUUCUUAAACACAUGAUUCAUGGUCCAUGCGGAGUUAUGGAUCAAACUAGCCCAUGUAUGAGGAAUGGUUCAUGCAAGAAUCAUUAUCCAAAAAAUUUUUGCGAACAAACGGUCCAUGCUGAAGACAGUUAUCCAUGUUAUAGGAGAAGAGAUGAUGGUAAAAAGAUAAAGGUGCGUAGAUAUCAGCUUGACAAUAGAUGGGUUAUUCCAUAUUGUCCUUAUCUAUUGGCCCUUUUUGAUUGCCACAUGAAUGUAGAAGUUUGUUCUACUUUGAAGCUGGUGAAAUAUUUAUACAAAUAUAUCUUCAAAGGACAUGAUCUUGUUAGUUUUAAGAUUGAGACUGGAGGAAGCUCUGAUGAUGUCAAUGAAAUAAAAGAGUUCCAGCAGGGAAGAUGGAUUUCAACCCCUGAAGCAUUUUGGCGAAUCUAUGAAUUCCGAUUAAAUGAGAUGACCCCAACAGUUUAUUCUCUUCAAGUUCAUCUUCCUGGUCAGCAGCUUAUCAGUUUCAACAAAAAUUCAAAUCUUUUGGAAUUGAUGAGAAAGAUUGAUUUUUCGAAGACCAUGCUAACCGAGUUCUUUGAAAUGAACAAAGCAAACUCAAAAGCUGAAAAUUUGAAAUGCUUUUAUAGAGAAUUUCCUGAGCAUUUUGUUUGGUCCACUAAAUUUAAAAUUUGGACUGAUAGAAAAUGUAAAAAGGUUAUUGGAAAACUAGUAACUGUUAGUCCUAAGGAAGAAGAAAGGUAUUAUCUUAGACUGUUGCUAAAUCAUGUGCGAGCACCUACGUCAUUUGAUGACCUUUUAAUAGUUAAUGGUCAAAAAAUGAAUUGCUUCAGGGAAGCUGCUUUGAACCUUGGUCUAUUACAGUCUGAUACAUAUAUAGAAGAUACGCUUGAGGAAGCAGCAAUUUUUCAAAUGCCAUCAUCAUUGAGACUGUUAUUUGCUACUGUUCUUGUUCAUUGUUCACCCACUGAUCCAAAAUUACUCUGGGACAAAUUUGAACAACAGCUAUGUAGUGAUUAUCAAAGAUCACAAGAACUUUCUCACUAUUCUUCUGCUGAAAUCAGAAGUAAAGUUUUGAAAGAUAUUAGCAGAUUGCUUGAACAGAUGGGUAAAAAUAUUGAUGAUUACCAUUUAGUUCCAGAUAGUUUUAGAAGUGCAUAUCAUGAACAGUUAACAAAGGAAAUUGACAGUGAAAGGAAUAUUGAAGUAUUACCAGAAGAUCUGUUUUUGCCUUUUAAAUUGAAUGCUCAGCAACAGCAUGUUUACGAUUUAAUUCUGCAUGCAAUUUCUUCUUCUGUUGGCCAAAGUUUUUUUAUCGAUGGUCCGGAUGGAACUGGUAAAACCUUUCUCUAUAGGUCACUUUUAGCUACUUUAAGAUCUCAAAGACAUGUUGCUAUUGCAGUCGCAACAUCCGGUGUUGCAGUAUCUGUUCUUCCAGGUGGAAGAACAGCCCAUUCUAGAUUUAAAAUACCGCUGGAUUUGUCAACAAAUAAAACUUGCCAGCUCAGUAAGCAAGGUAGUGUUGCAAGACUACUUUUUGAAUCAAAACUGAUAUUGUGGGAUGAAGCAUCAAUGGCAAAAAAAGAAACUAUUGAAGCCUUUGAUCAUUUGCUUAAAGACAUAAUAGAAUCUGAGCUGCCAUUUGGAGGAAAGGUGAUAGUUUUUAGAGGAGAUUUUCGACAAACUUUACUUGUGAUUGAGCGAGCUUCAAAACAAACUCUCAUAGAAGCUAGCCUUCCUAAUUCACCUCUAUGGAAUAAAUUUCAUAUGUUGAAACUAAGCGGGCCAUUUUGGACCUAGUAUUCUCAGAGUUUCUUUUAAGGGUGGGUGAAGGAAGAGAGCCUGUUGAUGCACAGGGCCAAAUAAUCUUACCGAAUGACAUGGUCAUUCCAUAUUAUGAAAAAGAAGAAUCUCUAAACAGGUUAUAAAAUUGUUAUUCAGCUAUGCUUCUUUUUACUACUUCUUGUCUUUCUAAAUUUGCCCUUUAUAUGUAUCUUGAUUUACUUUUCUUAUAUCCAGGUUGAUAAAAUCUGUAUUUCCAGAUUUAUUGGCUUAUUCGAAUGAUCCUUAUACUAUGAUCAAUAGGUGCAUUCUUACUCCAAAAAAAAGUUCAGUUGAUGAGCUAAAUGAUAUCAUGAUAAAAAGGUUUCCCGGAAAUCCUCAUGUUUAUAUUAGCUCUGAUAAAACUGUUGAUCAGCGUCAUCAAGGAGAUUGUGAAGAUUUUCUCAAUUCACAAAAUCCAAAAGGUCUUCCUCCUCACAAGUUGUUGCUUAAAGAAAAUUGUCCUCUCAUUCUUUUGAGAAAUCUGAACCCUGUAGAAGGAUUAUGUAACGGUACACGUCUCAUCUGUAGAGAGCUCAGACAGCAUACAAUCUGUGCUGAAAUAGCUUUUGGCCAGCACCAAGGGAAAAGAAUCUUUUGCCUAAAAUUCCUCUUCAAACAUCUGAUAGUGAAAAGAACGGCCUUCCAUUUAUAAGAACACAAUUUCCUGUUCGGCUUUGCUUUGCCUUAACAAUUAACAAAUCUCAAAGACAAACUCUUGAUUAUGUGGGAAUUUACCUUCGUGAGUUGGUUUUCUCUCAUGGACAGUUGUACGUAGCCUUAUCUAGAGCUAAAACAUCGGCUGCAGUUAAAAUUCUCAUUGUGCCUGGAACUUUUGGAGACAUUAAAGUUGAUUGCAAGACUAGAAAUGUUGUAUUCCAAGAAAUAUUUCAGCUAACUCAGCACUGAUGUUAUUACGGUUUAGGUAUAUCAUACAGAUUUAUCCAUUCAUUAUUCUUUGACUAAUAUGGUACUUUAUGGCCAUAAUAACUUUCUUCUUUUUCAAGAAUGAUUGUUGUUGUAUAUAUGAAUCCUUCUGAUAUCUUUCUUCCUUUGUAUACAUGAAAAUGCAGAAUGGAAAAGUUGCUCACAAUAAAAGAAAUUAUGCCUGAAAUGCAAAGUUGGACAUGCAAAAUCACAGUUCAAGAAAAACAGCAAGUUACUCAAUCAAUGUCCACCCCAACAAAAAAGCAAAAGUUCAUAGUUAUUGACGCUGAGGUACACAAAUUGUUUCGCAGAAAAUAUUAUUGCCUAUUUGCCUUGGUUCUUGCAAAAGUAUAAACCAUGGACUGUGGUAUGUAAUUAAAUUCCUCUGUUCCAUUAUCAAAAGGUUAUAUAAGGAUACUAUUGUUUUCUGCAUUCCAGUUGUUUGUCUUACUGAUGCUAUUUGGAAGGUUAGUUUGUGGUAACUUAUGUUAUAAUACAACAGGGAUAAAAAAUUGAAGGCAUUAUUUUCAACAAUGACAUCCCUAGAAUGAGCUCAAUCCUUCAAGUUUAUAAGAAAUACAACAUAUCCAAUGCUGAAGUGAAGCCAAUCUUACCAAAAUAUCAGACUGCUGAAAUAACUCAUCAGUGGACAAUCACGAGCAAAACUGUUAUUGAAGAGGUUCUUGAUGAUGAAGAUAUAAUGCCUGUCAAGUUCAACUAUACAAAGUUUACAGAUUUGGCACAGUAUAUGGACUAUAAGACUAAAUCAGUUGGUAUAUCUCAUUACUUUAUCUAUAUAAAUAGUAUGCAUAUCUCUGCAUGAAAUAUUCAACAAAUUUUUCCUUUUUCCAGAUAUCCUUGGAAUAGUUAUUGAAGCAUUGGAGAAAAAGGCAAUUACUACACACUACAGAGAGUCUAUUGUUCAAAAGUUUGUGCUUGUGAAUGAAAAGUAAGAUGUCCAAUUCUCAUCUUAUAUAUAACGAUCAGUAGUUAUAAUUUCUCCUAUUACAUAUAUCUUAUUAAAUACUAAUUAUUUAUUUCAUAGUAGAUUGCAAACUGUUGUACUUUCUAUGUGGGAUGAUUUCAUCAAAAAUGAAGGAGAACAGAUAAUUUCUGCCAUGAACAACUAUCCUGUUAUUAUUGCCCGAAGGAUAAAAGUCAACAACUACAAUGGUAACUUACAAUUUAAUGCCUAACCAUUAUCUGAUACAUUUAUAUCCAUAUAUAAGUCUCUCUAACAAAUGAUCUUGAGUCAAUAAAUAUUCUCUAUAGGUGUUUCUUUGUCCACAUGGUUUGAUUCUGCAAUCCUCGUUGAUCCUCCUGUUCAAGAAGCAAGGAAACUAAAGAAUUGGUUUUGAUUUAUCUCUUCCCUUUCAUUAUCAUUCUUAGCAGUUCAUGAUUCAUGCAAUAUAAUUUAUUCUUUACUUCUUUAACCUUAUUUUAUUAUAGGGCAAUAAGAAAUAGCAAGGAGUUGACAGUUAUUCUGGAACAGAAAACUUAUACUAGAUACAAUCCAGAACUUUCAUUGAAACCAGAUCAAAAGACCACCUUAAUUUGCAAUGUUAAUCCUACCCACAAGGUAUAAACAUCUUCACUGAUAGUUUAUUUUACAGUACAUUUAUUUAUCAAACAACAUAUUCAUACUUUUUACUUCUGAAUUUAGAGUACAUGGGUCAAAGCACAGUUCAGUUUCCAGCACAUAUUUCAAAAAUACUGGUAUAUGAGCUGCAAAAAAUGUUAUUGAGGUACUGCAGCAGCACAUGAAGUCAUUUUUAGCUGUAAUAUUUGUAAAGAAAAACAUCCUGCUGAACCAAGGUUCAUUACUAAAACCAAUCUUUUUUUUUUCGAAAAAGCUUUAAAGUUUACUAUCAUCAUCACUUUUUACACAUGCUAAACUUUUAUUUACAAACAUUUUUGCAGGUGUCGCUUUGAUGUGGAUUUACGGGAUCAUACUGGAGUUAUCACAGUUUCUAUCUUUGGAGAACAAGCUGAACAACUGCUGACGUUCAAUGCUCUUGAAAUAAUGGAACACUUUAAGCAGGUUCAUGUUCAACUUAUUAUUCACUUAUCCUAAAUCACAAAUUGAAACCAUAUUCUCUGCUUUCUGAAAACUUUUUCUUAAAUGCUUUCUAAUUCACAGAACAUUGAGCUUCCACUUGAAAUCGUCCACAAAGAACUUGACUCAAAGUGGUUCUUGGUACACAUUAAGCCAGUACAAACUCAAGUUGCAGAUACAAAGCAGCGAUAUACAAUCAUUUAUUAUUCUGAGAUUGUCGAUGCUGCUACCCCAAUUUCUUUUGUCAAUGAAUCAAUCAUUCCCUUUCUAUCAGUUCAUAAUCAGGAUGGCCCUUCACAGACCACAACUUCAGGUAUAUAAAUAUACUUAUCACAGAUAAAUAAUCCUUUUUUCUUACUCCAAAUUAAUCCCAUUCUUCUCCAGGCACUUUAACUACUGAAGAAAACAAUCCAACUUCAAAGAUUCGUCUUUCACUAAAUCAAAAGUUUGAUCAGGCUGAAGAACCAGAAAAAAAUGCUUCUCAUCUUGAAGGAACUAGCUACAACAAGAAGCCAAAACUGAACUAAGUUCUCAUGUUCUAUAGUUUCUUUUGAAACUUAGGAUUGCUACUUUGAAACUAAAUUGCUGCUCUAUGCUUUUUGUUCAGCAAUUUAUGAUUUUAAGAAAUCAUGGUAUUGCUGUUGUGUUUUGUUUAGCAACUUAUGAUUUCCAGAAAUCAGAAAAUGACUGCUACUUAACUAUGUUGUUUCUUGUUUCAGAAUUACAUUUCUUUAAAUGUAGACAUACUACUUAUUUUGGAGCUUUGUUUUUCCCAUCUGUUAUAUGCAAUUGUGUGAUUCUUUUACUGGAGUUAACUUGUGUAAAAAAAUCACAGGAAAAAAGAUGGAAUAGCAUAAGAUAAGAACUUGAGGCGGGGAGGGUAUUACAAUAUAGCAACCUAUAUCUCUUGCUAAACUAUAUAUAGAACCCAAAUGAUGGUCCUGAUGCAAUCCUGCCAGACAUUUUUAUCACCAGAAAGCAGUUUUAUGUGUGUCAUUUGCUGAUAGGCUUCCUAGUUUCCCUAACAUGUAUAUCUUGCUUUAGUUUUGGAAUCACAAUGUGCAAUAGGGAAAUGACAGGAAGUAUCAAACGGAAUUUGUUCACAAGUUGGUUCUUGGUAUCCUGUGAUCUAUCAUAAUGGCUCGGUGUUACUUUUGUAGUUUUGUUUGCUUUUUUGUUCUUGUUAUGGAGUAUUUUGGCUUCAAAUAGUGGUGUUUUGCAGCGCAUUGACCAGGUGUAUACCUUCUCCUAUUUCGAUAAGUUCUUAUGCCAAUGCCAAUGCCUAUUUAGAACAUAGGGCAGUAAUAACCCGAUAGACCAACUUUUCUGAUAGCAAUUUCCUUGGUUGCAACUUUUUAUGUUGUCUCUAAUUAAAUCACCAGGGACUUGUGUUGUCACGACUUCUUGCUCUUUCUCUGGCUUUACUGUUUUAUUGUGCUCCUUAGUGUAUUCUGCCUAAGUAUCUCUUCUAGAAGUUAAGGUUACCUAUUACAAACUCUGACUUACUGGAUAGUGUUUGAUUCAGCAGUAGAAUAAACUCUUUGAAGGGUAACUAGCUAAAUAACAGUCGACAAGCAAUGUCUGUAAUAGUUCCAUGGCCAUGAUGAAGCUGUUUGAAACCUUUUUUUGGGCCAUUUACGAUUUCAAGAAAUCAUAGUAUUGCUGCUGUCUUUUCUUCAGUAACUUAUCAUUGCCAGAAUUAAUAGAAUAACCGCUGUUUAACUAUACUCUUCCUUGUUUCAAGAUUACAUAACAAUCUUUUCUUCUCCACGCAAAAUCCUUUAUUUGUCAAGUUAAAUGUUUUAUCUUAUCAAAAUUGUUUCCAUUUAUCUUUCUUCUUCAAUUUACCUUUCUUACACGUAUAAAAAUACAGAUUCACAUACCAAACCACGUGCUCAUUCCUGAAUCAUUCUCAUUUACAGCAACGUUAUCUCAUUUUUAUUAUUCUGACAACAUGCACCAACUACAUAUUCAACCACCUUCAUUAAUUUUUCCUGUUCUUAUUUCAACCAUAUUCAUUAAUUAUUCCUGUUCUUAUACAUUCAUUUCGUUAAAAUUUUUUUUUUUUUCUAAAUUUCUUCAUUCUCUAUGUAUACCUAUCUUUUCUAUCCUAGACUUCCUAACUCUACUCCUACCAUACAUUCAUAACUCCUUCAUAUUGAAAAUCUUUUAUCAUUUCUAAACUUUCAUCUUUCACUUGAAUUUUAAACCUUACUACCAACUACAACAAAUCCAUACCUGACUUUUCUUCAAAAUGGCAAAUACUAUUUCACAAAGAUGUUGCUUUCUCAUCCGAUGCAAAAAUAGAGGCCAGGUACAUUCCUUUUUGUUCAACAGCAUACGUUUCCAAAUUUUUCUCUAAUUUACAUUUCAUUUAAAAUAUUGUUAUCUUAAUAUCAUAUGCAGGUUUUACCUCCUUUAUUCAAAUCAUUACUGUCUCAACAUGGCCGUCACACAAUUACCUUCAUGCACGGAACAAAACAAUGGAAUAUUACAGUAAAUGCUGACUCGUUUGGAGCAGGAUGGGAUAAAUAUUGUGAAGAAAAUAUUACUAAUGAACAUCACAUACUAUUGCUUCGACAUAUUGGGAAUUUAUUUUUUGAUGUUAUUAAUUUUUGUGAAUUGCAACAACACGUUAAUCUCAGCUGGACAGUCCCUCUAACCAACCUUCAUCUUCAGCAAAAUUGUAUACAUUCAUAAUACAUCUUUAUCCUUUCUAUUUCAUAGUAAUGUUCCAAUCUUACAUUAUUUAUUCCAACAAAAAUAUUUCUUAUGUGCAGUUCAUGCUAAUCCGCCAAUUCAUGAAGAAAUAGUGACAUCUUCACUUCAACCUCAUUUUUCGCAAGAUUUAUCCACUUCAGUAUGCUUCUAUCAGAACUUUCACUCAGUCGACCCGUAUACAUUGGUAAAUAAUCCUUAUUAUAUUUUUCUUAAAUUAUUCCCUACCUAACUCAUUUCCUUCAACUUAGCUCACUAACUUUUACUUUUUGUAUCAGAAAAUCCCACGAUUUGUUGACUAUUUUCUCAAUGAACAAAAAACUUCACUUAUAGCUCUCAAAACUGGAGAUAACGUAACAGAAAUUGGAAUCAAAGGCAAGCAGCUCAAAAAAAAUUGGAAAGCUUUCAUUCUUCAACAUCAACUCCAGCACAAUGACGUCCUUAUUUUCGUUCCAGAAUCGAAGACUGUCUGUACUGUUUUAAUAUUUAACAGCAAUGGGGAUGAAAAAAUUUUCCCUUGAUACCCUGUAUUUCAUAUCCAUUAUUAUAAUUAGCCAAUUUAUUAUUAUAAUUAGUCAUUAACUUUUUGUAUCUGUAACAUUAUUCAUGAACUAUAUUAUCCUUAUUUAUUAAUACUCUGUGAUUGAUCAAUAAACAUGAUUUCAUAGCUAAAAAUACUAUAAAAAGAUAAAAAUCAAUUACAAAUUAAACUUUACAUCCAAUAACAAUUUCCUUUUAAUAAACAUUUACCUUCUUAUCCAUCUUAGUAAUAGUUCACCUACUUCAUAUAUAACUGUCAUUUAUUUUACCAAAAAAUUUUACAUUGUAAUAUGAUACCAUACAUUUCAAAAGCAAAAAAUUUUCCACAAUAUAUUUUACAAUUAUCCACCAUUUCAUAUCCAAUUUAUCAAAUCAUCACCUUCUACUUUAUAAAUAAAACUUUAGAUAUAAUUCCAUAUACAGUUUCAUAUAAUUCCAUUCUAACAUUUUCAGCUAUCACAUACACCACUCUCCUACAUUUACUCCUUUCUUGCUUUUACUUUUCGUUAUAUGAUUUCAGCCUAUUUCACUAAUCUAAACUGAACAACCUAUACAGUUUACAUGUUUCUUUUUAUUCUAACAUCACACCAACCCUCAAUGACCAAUACAAGACAGGGCAUAAUUGCAUUGAUCCACCGCGCUUAGCGCGGCCAUACCCACCUAGUAUACUCCUAUUGGCUUUUAAGUGACAAGGAUCACACACCGUUUGUACCCGUGUUCGGCAUGUCAAAUCAUGCAUACUGUACAUAGUAUCUUGAUAAAAAAACUGACACCGGUAAUAGAUCCACACCCCAUUCCCCUAUCUAUGUGCCAAGCCUUGGUGGCUUGAUUAAGGUAUGGAGGCUACAGAAUGUAUUGCUAGAUGUAGUAUAUGCUAGAAACUUCCGGAGCGUUCUAGGCUAUUCAAAAAUCUUGUAGAAUGGCUUAGAGUCUUGUAAAUAAGAGUGGACUUGUGUAGAUACUUCUAGAGUCUAUGUGUAAAGUACAUUUUAUGUAGAAUUCUCUAGGAAUGUUCUUGGUUAUUCAAGAGUCUUGUGGAAUGGUCUAGAAUCUUGUAGAUAAGAGUGGACUUGUAUAGAUCCUUCUAGAGUCCAAGUGUAAAGUACAUUUUGUGUAGAAUUCUCUAGAGUUGUGUAUAGUUUCUUGACUUGACCUAGAAUUCUCUAGAGUUGUGUAUAGUUUCUUGACUUGCCUAUAAAUAGGUCAAGUCCUUUUCAUUUGUGGUAACCUUUAUACAAGAGUUCUCAAGUGCAAUAAAGAAGUUUUCCUUUGCCUCCAAUACUUUCUCUUUUUGCUAUUACUUUUACGCUUCCGCACAACUUUUGCGCACUUGGUGUUUAGUUUGAAUUAGCCAACUGUUCAUAGCUCAAGUUUUGAAUGACAGCUAGUGUCGCACGGAGUGUUGUCUUGUAAGAAAACAAGCAGCCCGUGACAUAAGGAAUUAGCCAUCAAACAAAAUAAAUUAUUGUACAAAAAAAAUUUAUACGUUGCAUUUUUUUAAAAAAAAUUAUUGACUACCAGGCUUUUGCUUUCCAUAUGCUUUAGUAUUUACUGCAAUUUUGUACUUAGAUUGAGGCUGACAAAAAUCUUAAUAGUGUAAGUGUGUAUCAAUUGUGACUUUCAAAAUAUCAAUUUCAGUUAAAAUUAAGAGUUGUAUUGAGUGUGACUAUCAGGAAAUCAAAUUCAGUUUAAGUUAAUGUUUUGUACUAAAUUUGACGUUAAAGAAAUCAAAUUUAGUUAAAUUUGAAACUUUGUAUUAUAUGACUUAAAACACUCAAAUUUAGUCAUUUAAAUAAGUUUAUACUGGAUGAUACUUUCAAAAAAUUACAUAUAGUUAAAAUUAGGAGUUUCUACUAAAUGGGACUUUCAAAAAAUCAAAUUAGAUUAAAGUUGAUAUUUUGUACUAAAUGUGAGUUUAAAAAAUUAAAUCUAGUUAGACAUAAAAUAUUGUGUUGAAUUUGAAUUUCAAAUUAACAAAUUAAAUUAAGAAUUUGUAUUGAAUGUGAAUUUAAAAAAUUCAUAUUUAGAUAUAAUUUGGAGUUGGUAGCAAAUGUGAUUUUUCAAAAAUAAAAUUCAGUCAAAUAUAAAUUUUAUAAUAAAUGUGACUUUAAAAAAACUUAAAUUAGUUAAAUGUAAAAGUUUAUACUGAAUGUGACCGUCAAAUUAUCAAAUUCAAUUAAAAUUAAGAAUUCCCACUGACGUUCAAAAAAUCACAUUUCAUUAAAAUUGAAAGUUUGUAAUUAAUGUGACUUUCAAGUAAUCAAAUUCAAUUAAAUAUGAUAUUUUCCAUUAAUGUGACUUUUCUUGGCUGCUGCUCCAUCUCUGCCAAGUUUGUAAUUAAUGUGACUUUCAAGUAAUCAAAUUCAAUUAAAUAUGAUAUUUUCCAUUAAUGUAACGAAGAUUAGAUUGAGUUUUUUGCCAAGUUUGUCUGCUACAAGUUUUUUAAAAACUUUAGCUAUAGACUACAGUAACCUCAAAAAAUUUCUUAAAGUUUUUAAACUAUACACUUCAAAAUAUUCAAAAAUUUACACACUUCAAAAAAUUUUUUAAAAACUUCUACAGUAAGCUACAGUAAAAUUUUAGACAAACACCUAAAAAACUCACUUGCCAAACGGGGCCCAAAUUCAAUCAAAUUCAUAACCAAGUUGCUGCACUAGAAUUUCAUGAAAGGAUACUUCAAGGUAUAAGUUAACUUCCUUAGUUGGUCCAACCUCCCCCUUAACAUAACCAUUCAACUCCCUACUGCUAUCUAUCCUCCUAAAGGUGUUUAUUUUCCCAAUCAUAGAACACCUUACGACCAUAUAAACCAUCACUCAGUUAAUCUAUCCAUUUCGAAAACACUUAGACCUAUACUCUCAAUAUAGUCAAAAACACACAAAUCUCCACCUUCGUAAUGGGGAUCAAGAGUAUAUGAUAUGAGGCCUCCAUGGUGACAUCUUAAUGUAAUAAAUGUGCUGCCCGUUUCUGGUUAAAGAAAACAAUAUAUAUCAAAAAAAAAGUGAUUGUUAAUCUUCAUCAUUUCAUACAAUAAACUGUUGACCCACACAACAACUUUCUAACAAGGACCACUUUAACACUUUUUCCAUACACAUGGCCGAAUACAACCAAAAUUUGCAUUAUUGUUUAUUAGUCACUCUCACCACAAAAUUGUAGUCAAGCAGAAACUAUUACACAAACAUAAAGGACCACAUUCACACUAUAAUAAUCAAACCAAGACAAAUUUUUUAAUUUAUUUAUACCUCAUACAAAUGGCCAGAUCUGGAAAAAGAAUAGCCAUAAAUUAUAGUGAAGAACCAUUUCCAAAAAAGUACAAACACAAGGGACCACAUAUAAGGUAUCCUUCUCUAAAAAAACACAUAACUUUAUGCAAUGUAAUUGUUGAUUUUGGGUAUAAAUACCGUAAUUUGGGGGUGGACAAAUGUGGAGCUCUUUCUUCCGCAAUGCCAUUUUUUUCUUCAUCUAAAAUGCUCCACGGAUGCCGUCUAUGCCCUCCUUCUUGCCAGCAGGUGCUCGAAAUUGUUACGGUGAGAUUGGCCAAAAAAACUUUUAGGGCUGAAGAAUGGAGAAGAAAGAAGGAGAAGACUGGAACUUUUCCCUUUUGCUAUUUUUCAAAUUUUCGUCCGUUAGAAAAAGUGGCUCCAUUCGGUUUGACCCGAUUUUAUUGGGUAUAAAGUUGGAUUUGACGGAGCGUGUUUCUCACAUGCAAAGUUCCGUCCCAAUUAAAUAAUUGUCCUUCAUUUCCCGUCAAUUGUCCUUAAUUGGCCAAAAUUACGGAACUUUGAGGAUGAAAUAUGUUUUGGGUGAAACUGGUCAACAACCCAAAUUUUGAGGAUGAAAAAUGCAUUUUUCCCUUUCUACUAAAUAUGAGUUUCAAAAGUCAAAUUAAGUUAAACAUAAAAGUUUGAAUUGAAUGUCACUUUCAGAAUAUCAAAUUCAAUUAAAAUUAAGCAUUUUUGCUGAACUUGACUUUCAGGAUAUCAAAUUUUCAGGAUAUCAAAUUGAUUUAAAAUUGAAAUUUGUACUAAAUGUAACUUUAAAAAACCAAAUUAAAAUGAACUUUUUUUCAAUUUGUUUUUCCUUCCCUCUUACCACUAAACUCAACCCUCCCCCAUCAAAUUAAACUGAACAAUUUAUACUGAGUAGGACUUCAAAAUGUCAAAUUUAGUUAAAAUUAAAAAUUCGUAAUAAUUGUGACCUUUAGGAAAUCACAUUUAGUUAAAAGUAAGAGUUUGUACUUGAUAUGACUUUUAAAUUUAGUUGAAUAUGAGAUAUUGUACUAAUGCAAGUUUAAAAAAGAAAAAACAAAUGAGGUUAAAUGUAAAAAUUUGUGCUCAAUGUGACAUUCAAUAAUCAAAUUCAAUAAAAAUUGAGAGUUUGUAGCGAAUGUUGAGAGUUUUAUUUAAAUGAACCGUAAAAGUUUGUAGCGAAUGUCACAUUGAGAGUUUUAUUUAAAUGAAGGGUUAUUAUUACUUUACCUCCUUAACGUUUGGUGCCACUAUCAAUUUCCCCCUUAACGUUAUCUUUUAGUCACUUUACCCCUAAGAUUAACGGUCAAAUUUAACGGAGUUUGUUAAUUAAAGUGAAAAGACAUGUUUAAUCCUUAAAAUUAUUAUUACUUUACCCCCAUAAACUAUAGUUUCAUUAUCAAUUUACCCCCUAAAGUUAUUUUUUAGACAAUUUAUCCUACCAUUAAACCAACUUAGCAAGUUAAAAAACUUUAGAAGAAAAUACCCUCCUCUUUGCAUAAUAAAAAUAUUUAGAGUGCCUCUUCUUCUUUUUAGUAUCAAGAAAAAAAGUCAAAAUAUUAAUUUCUUUCUUCUUGGUAAUCUUAUUAAUAUCAAAAAAGAAUAGAAAGAUGGAGAGGGGGAGGGGUAGGGGGAGAGGGAGAGACCCCAAUUCUUUUUAAAAAAAUUACAAAUAAGAAAGAAUUAAAUACUUUAUUAUUUUAAAAUUAUUUCACUUUUCUGUUUACUACCAAAUUCUAAUCAUAAUCUCGACAAUCUUAAUGUAAUAUGAUAAUGUUAGACUUUUCUUUAUUUUCUUUCUUUGCAAAAUCUAAUUUUCUUUCUUUUUCUUUUCUCUCUCUUUUUCUUUUCCUAGUAUUAAUAAGUGUGAAAAAAGAAAUUUGAGAAAACCCUUUUAUUUUUAUGUUUUUCAAUCUCUUAAAGUGAAAAAAAGGGAAGAAUAACCAUUCCAACUUUUAUAUUUUUAAUUAUAUAUAAAAAAGGGUAAAUAUACUGAAAAUUUUUUGACCAUACUAGUUAGAUUAACAAUGAAGUAAAAUGCCUAGAAAAUAAUGUAAAGAACUAAAGUGAUUGUAUCACUAUAAUCUAAACGAAUAAAGUGAUAAUAACAAUGUAGUAAUGCUAUAAAAUAAAAGGGUAUUUUUGUCUAAAAUUUCUUAACAUGUUGAGUUGAAUUACUUAUGGGGAUAAAGUGAUUAAAAGAUAACGUUAGGGGAUAAACUGAAAGUAGUGAUAUAGUUUAAGGGGGUAAAGUGAUAAUAACCCUUAAAUGAACUGUAAAAGUUGUUUUUACAAGAAAUAUCUAGCCAACCUUCCUGCAAGAGAUUCAAGCCUAUUGGGACUAUAAAUAGAAAUGAUACCUCCAACAAUUUCUUUGUUUUCAACGCUUCCUAAUUUCCAGGAAUUAGUCACUUCAACAACCUUUGAUGGUUAUACGGAUAUCCAAAGUACAAACGAGAUGGAUGCUUGUUGUCCCAACCAUUCUUUUAGUCCCGAGCCCGAUAAGGAAGGGGGUAAUUUAUAACAAAGUUUUCGUGUUGUUGAUUCCUAGGAGUAGUGCUUCUUCCCCUAUGCUGCCUAUUAGUACUAAUGGAAUAGGAUUAACCCAUAAUACAAAACCUCUAGGCGUAACCUUUCGCUUAAUACUAGAAUCGACAGUUGAAACAUAGCAUCUGAGGUUGCAUUAAUCGAGGAUACACGACAGAAGGGAUUGUUCUAUUUACAAGCUUCACCUUCAACAAGCGUCGAUUUUUUGAAAAAAAGUUUCCGUGUCUUUUUGAUAAGACUGAUAGAAAUGAAUCAAUAUGAAAAUAAAGAAAAAAGAAUCAAAUCGCACC